This 60441-nucleotide long non-coding RNA is filed under the name Triticum aestivum (bread wheat). Its description in RNAcentral is "long non-coding RNA (TAES_LNC015204)". Lineage: Eukaryota; Viridiplantae; Streptophyta; Magnoliopsida; Poales; Poaceae. The record is from RNAcentral.
GGAAAGUAAAGAAAAAAAGCCAGAUGAUUUCAACAGAGAACACAUCAGUUGACACUAUAGCUUGAAAAAGGUGCUUGUAACAAAUUGAAAUAGGUAAAGAGAGAUUAUUUACUUACUCUCACUACAGUCAUCAACAUUAUACAUCCUUUUCCACGAAUGAGUGUUCCUGUAUAAAGAACCAUCACGGUGUGUGCUUUUUGGAAGAAAUCCCAGGUCAAGAAUAUCAUCUUCUUCGGCAUCGCUUGCUACCAAUGCGCUCCUUCUAUUGGUUGCACUCCUCCCGUUUUCAUCACAACCAGAGAUGUCCACAAUAUUCGAAGAUGCAUCAUGUUUGCCGGCUAUAGUAUUCAUAUCUUGCAAGGUUGUCCCACUAGUCAUGCUCCGAGAUCCAGGUGGAAAUCUAUCACCAAAGAGAAUAAAGAGCAAAUCUGAGCACCCGACAGAAAAUUCAAUUCUUUUUCGGUUCCCCUUUCAUUUUCGUCGGAUUAACUAUAAGACCCCACACCCCCUGCCUUAUUUACAAAAAUCAACACAUAAGGAUAAUUAAAAGGGAUUUUUCUCGAAUACGCUCGGAUAAUUAAAAGGGGUAAAAAACCACAGUUGGUCAGAAUCCAGAUCCAAAACUAUAAUAAUAAGAAACUAAAGGCGAAAAUUUUGGCAUCAGAUGAUGAGAGCAUACCGGGAAACACGACGGACAGGUAGAUCUGGAACCAUCAUGAGAGGGAAACUUCGCCGUGCAAGCGGUUGUGGCGACCAGUAAGGCGGGGCAGAGGCCAUGAAAGAGAGGAGAGGUCGCGAGGUAGAGGAGAGGCGGCGCAGUGGGUCAUGAGAGAUGGCGACGCCAGGUCGCCGGAGGAGACGAAAAAUCUGACGGAGGAUUGGCAUCUGAGCGCGCGGCGGCGGCAGAGGUGGGGUGUGCCGGUGUGGAGAAUGGGGAGAGGAAAGGGCUGAACGCACGGGGCGGUCUUCUUUACUCUCUUAUAUCAGAAUAGCACACAUAUGCCCGUGCGUUUGCAACGGGAGAGAUAUUUUAUUUACGACAAGCAACAAAAAGAUAAUUAAUUGUGUUAAAAAAUGGUCUUCACAAUGGUAGGCGAGAGAGCAAGGAGUUGCGGCCUUCUCACUGGACAUGUUUGGCUCGUGAAAUCUUAAUAGUGGUGGAGUUGGUAGGCGUGGUGGCGAGCACCCAACUCGUCCCUUUUUCUUUUGCAUGCCUCCUCAUUUGGUGGAUGUGUGACGACCAUCGGAACACGGUUGCUUCGACCACUCUCCUACUACAGUGUAACCAGAUGGAUUACUAAUUGCAGUGCAUAAAUCCUCUUACACAAGUAUAAUCAAGCAUGAAUGUCCCUUUAUUACGAAGGUUUAUUCCCUUUGAUUUUUUUAGCACUUAUGUUAAAAAAUUGAAAGCCCGGACAGUUAAAAAAAUGUGAACAUUUAUUUUUAGAAAAUUCCAUAUAAUUAAGAAAACAAAAAAAUUAGAAAGAGGAAUAGUUAUUUAAGUUCGAAAAAACAUGUUGAAACCAUGAACAUUUUAUAAAAACACAAAAUUAAUAAUUUUUUUAAAAGGGGGACAUUCAGAAAAAAAUUAAAAAUGUUUUCUUAGACGCAAACAUUAUUUUGUUUUUGUGAACUUUUCAAUAAAAUAGGAAUAUUUUUUGGAAUAUGGAACAUUUUAUAAAAUAUUAACUUUAUAAAAAAAUCUAUAAAAAUUCUAAAACAGAAUCUUUUUUAAAUGGCAACAUUUUUUAAAUGUUGAGAAAAUUCCGAAACCAGUUUUUUUAAGUUUAUAAUAUUUUUCAAAACAAUAAUAAAAUUUUAUAAUGCUGAUUUUUGAAUAUUUGAAUAAAAAAUUAAAUUGUGAAUAUAUUUUGUAUAUUUUUAUUUCACGGCAAAAUAAAAAAAGUGAAAAGGAAAAUGAAACAUUUAAAUGGCCCGGCCCAGUCUUGGGCGACCUGUGCGUUCCUUGAACUAUUUGUCGGUAUGUGCGACAAAUAAGGUCUUUUUAACGUCUGGGCAGGAUAAUUACUGGGUUGGCUUUGUUGGGCUGGAGUGCGCCCGGCCCAAUUGCGGAAUUCUGGAGAAACUUUUUGUCUUUUCUAGUAGAUGCACAAAAAUUUAGUACCACCUUGGAUAGAAAAAAUAUUUUCAACGAUGAAUGGAUGAAAAUAUUGGAGAAACGCACUUUGCUUUAUUAGUAGGUAUAGAUUUUCACUUUUGCAGAAAAUCCCAGAUAAUUAUUGAUAAUCAACCCACAUGACAGUUUUAAGUCAGAUUUUUGUUUUGUUAGGAAACUAGCGGUGUGACCCGCGCAUUUGCGCGGCUAGAUUAGUUACACAUUGUUAUGAUUAUUUCUUUAUUUGUAUUUUAUUUAUUUUUAUAAUUGCAAAAUGUUUAUUUUUAUUUAUUUAUAAUAGAAUUUCUAAAUGUUAUAAAAUUAUAUAGCCAUAUUACCACAUGACUAUGAAUUAUUUGUCCCACAUAUAUUAGCACAUGACUAUACAAUUUUUGUUUUACAUGAUCUACUGUCUUAUCUUAUUCAGGUGCACAACUGAACAAUCUAUUAAGUCAUCAAUAGUGAUGUUUCUGUUUAAGAAUGGAAGUUAAAGAUCCCGUGGGUUGCCAUGCAAAAACAACACUUUCAUACUAAUAUGUAAGUUCCAGUUUACACUCUAGUGAUCCCGCAAAAAAAAAAUUUACACUCUAGCUCCCAUCGUUAGCUAGGAUUAAGUAGAGUUCUUUUCUUUAAUCUAUCUCAUCAUUAGACAUAAUUNNNNNNNNNNNNNNNNNNNNNNNNNNNNNNNNNNNNNNNNNNNNNNNNNNNNNNNNNNNNNNNNNNNNNNNNNNNNNNNNNNNNNNNNNNNNNNNNNNNNNNNNNNNNNNNNNNNNNNNNNNNNNNNNNNNNNNNNNNNNNNNNNNNNNNNNNNNNNNNNNNNNNNNNNNNNNNNNNNNNNNNNNNNNNNNNNNNNNNNNNNNNNNNNNNNNNNNNNNNNNNNNNNNNNNNNNNNNNNNNNNNNNNNNNNNNNNNNNNNNNNNNNNNNNNNNNNNNNNNNNNNNNNNNNNNNNNNNNNNNNNNNNNNNNNNNNNNNNNNNNNNNNGGGGCAUUAUUUAUUUUAAUUGUUUGUCACUUCUGCAUAUGAGGUAAUACCAUCCCUCCAUUGUACAUUUUUGCACAAAAAAAUAUAUAAAAUGGCACAAUAUGUGUCUUCCCUACUAUUUUUGCUAUUAAAAACAUAUUGUCAUACUUUCCUUUGUGCUCACUCUUGGAGUGCCUUGUUCUUUCUGGUCAUUUUCAUGUCUGUUUUAGGUCGAUUUAUGCCGUUAGAAUAUUAGCAUGAUUUCAAUUUGCGAGGACACUGUUUUUUGUGUCAUGCAAUUAAUACACUUAUUGACCGCACACAUAGUAUAUUGUCAUUGUUUUUAAUCACCCAAUUUCAUCUAUCUCAUAUACUAAGUGAUUCUUGUCCAUUUAAUACUUGAGGUAUAAGAUGUCGCCUCUCCACCACCUGAAUUGUGUGAAGCCUCGGAGUAACCAAUGGUUCACACACGCAUAGUGUUUGUCCAUACAAUGUGUACUCAACAACUAUUUUAACCUCACCUCUAUGCAUUUAUCCAUUUUUAAGAAACCCAUGCAUGUUGAUAGAUAUCACCCGAGAGAUGUUCCCCUAUUGUUGGUCCAAUAACUAUAUAUAUUGCAUGCUGCCAAAUCCAGAUUAGACUGUCAAAUUUAUUUCAGUUUCACCCAAGACACUAAAACUUGGGAUCGCUAUUUCUCUAACAAACCCGUACUGCUCCUUUAUUAACUGUUGUUCUGAUCCGACUCAAAUUUUCUAACUAACUUGUACUACUCUUUAUUUACUAUUGUUCAGAUCCGACUCAUAUUUUCUUUUCUUCGUGCUUUAACAGCCAUACAUAUUAUCUAAAGCGUUAAAAUUAUUAAAUCAACGAUAAAGUAACGAUGCAAUCUAUUUGUUCAUUGUUUUAAUUACGAAAUAAAUUAGAUAUAUAUUCUGGGCCUUUUUUGCGGGAAUAUAUAUCAAAAGUUAGCUUCAUUUAUGUGGGUCGCAUGUAUAUUAAGUUGCUUUUUUCCUUAUCCCAAAUUUCAUAACGUAUAAUAUAGUAUUAAAAAUUUAAAUGACGCAAGAGGUUCAUAUAUAAAUUUGAUUGUAUUGUUUGUCCACCUAAUAGUAUAUGUAUCUAGUAUGUUUAUUUUGAACAAUCUGACUCAAAACCUCGAUCAUCUGUGAUGAACCACAUUCUUGUAGAUUCCAACUUAAAAUGAUAAAUUCAGUGGCUUUGUUUGUACAGGUUGAAUGCUUGUUUGCUUGGCCCGAAUAUUAUCUCAGCGGCGUUGAUCACCAAUUCCUUUUUUGGGAAUUGUAUGUAUAUUUUUAGAUGAAUUGCAUGCAUGUUCUUUCUGAAAGACUUGCACCUAUAUUUUCUUGGAAAGACCCACCUGUACAUUUUUUAUAUGUUCAUGACUAUUUUUUUUAAUAUCUACGCAUGGCUCAAGUUGUCUGAUGUUGGAUGCAUGUUUUUGUAAAGACUUGCAUGUAGUUUUUUCACAUUGGUACAGGACCUAGAUGGGCAAGUGCGCUUGUUGUAGAUUGCUUGGACUCACCCAAGCGGCAUGUACGUAGAUGUCAUAUGCUUGUGCGUGUCAUGGCCGACGUAGGCCCCUCUUCUUUUCUCUUUGUUUCAGGAAACUAACCUAAUCGUUUGUGUCCGACGAUAAACUUUGUAUACGUGAUAGGUUGUACAUGCAAGGUACCGGAAUUGCUUUUUUAUUUUUGACCGACCCGUACAGCUUCUUCAUUAAAUAUUGCUUUGAUCAGACUGAUAUUUCCUUUUCCUUGUUCUUUACGCCCGAACAUAUUAUCUCCAGCGUGACACAACGUACAUAACAAUAUUGUACAUUCCAUGAUAGUUGGGUUAAUCAACCUGCAGUACAUAUAAAAUGUUUUCUUAAAAGUAUCCGCAUCUUUUAAACCGUGACUUCAAAUUUAAUAUGUUAUAUAAAAUUUGAUUAGAAAAACUAAUCAUCAACCUGUGCACCAGCACGGGCUAGAACGUUUGUAGUCACUGCACUUGCUACUUUUGUACAAAAUAGUGUCUAAAUUUAUUUUUCACAUAUUAGUUACAUAUAGGGACACAUAUUUUUUUGAUGAUGUUUUACUUGUCAGAAAAUAUGAUAAAUCCUCAAAGUCUUGCAAAUCCAAAAUGCAAUCAUAGUCUUAUAAUAUUUUGAACGAACAUGCAAUUUUAUCUACUAAGAUCCCAAUAUACAAUUCAUAUAAAUAGACGCAUGUAUAUGCAAAGCUUAAAACCAAAUUGAAUAAUUGAUAUUUCUCUUCAAAAAAAUACAAUAAUGCAACCGCAAGUUCGGGGACCCAUAAAAGCAAAAUACUGCUUCACCAUAUUUUAGAACAAUAUAAUGAAUAUGUAAAAAAACUGAAUGGAGUUGAAUAUCCCAUGUUGAUUCCUAUACAUAACAAAAAGUAAGUAUUAAAACAUUAUUGUCCAAACAAAAUGUUAAUUGACAAUGCUUUGGCUUUCAAGGUUAAUCAUCUAGUGCAUUGCACAUUUCAGAAUGAACAUCCUCUACAAAGCAACAUAGCUUGGCAAAUAUGCAUGCAAAUAUCAAGGAUUUCUGCAACGCGGAAUUAUGAAAAAAAAUUGUAUGCCAGAAUAUGAAACUUAACACCGAAAAAUCCCCCAACCAAGAGACAGUCUAACACUAGUAGAAAACAGGGUUUUGAUCCAGGCCUGAAGAGGGCAUUAAUCCCGGUUCUCAUACGAACCGGGACCAAUGGGAGCAUUAGUCCCAGUUCAUGAGGCCAGGGGGCCGGCCGGGCCUCGGGGGCCAAUGGUCCCGGUUCGUCUGACCCCUUUGGUCCUGGUUCCAGACACAAACCGGGACCAAUGGGCCUUGCUCCUGGCCCAUAACCUUUAGUCCCGGUUUGUGUCUGGAACCGGGACCAAAUAGAGGCCUAUAUAUACCUUGCCCGCGAGCAGAGCAGUGCACUCUUUGUUUUUUUGGCUAGCCGUGGGAGAGCUUUGUGGUGCUCUAGCUCACCUCCUAUGCACAUGAGGUGUUCGAUGAAAUACCCGAGCCACACUUUAUAAGCUUUCUCCUCUCGAAAUUCCUUGUCCCAACUCCAUUUUCCUCAAGAUUUGUCUAGGUUUGUGAUACGUCUCCAACGUAGCUAUAAUUUUUGAUUGUUCCAUGCUACUAUAUUAUCCAUCUAGGAUGUUUUGUAUGCAUUUAUGUGCUAUUUUAUAUGAUUUUUGGGACUAACCUAUUAACCUAGAGCCCAGUGUCAGUUUCUGUUUUUUUCCUUGUUUUUGAGUAUCGCAGAAAAGGAAUACCAAAUGGAGUCCAAUUGACGUGCCAAUUUUUGAUGAUUUUUUAUGGACCAAAAGAAGCCCCCGGAGUAAAAGAGUUGGGCCAGAAGAGUGCCGAGCUGUCCACGAGGGUGGGGGCGCGCCCUACCCCCCUUGGGCAUGGGCCCUAUCUCGUAGACGACUCGGAGACCCCCCUGACGUGAGACCGACGCCAAAAAUUCCUAUAAAUAUAGAAACCUCCAGAACAUAACCUAGAUCGGGAGUUUCACCGCCACAAGCCUCUGUAGCCACCAAAAACCAAUCGGGACCCUAUUCCGGCACCCUGCCGGAGGGGGGAUCCCUCACCGGUGGACGUCUUCAUCACCCCGGUGCUCUCCAUGAUGAGGAGGGAAUAGUUCACCCUGGGGCUGAGGGUAUGUACCAGUAGCUAUGUGUUUGAUCUCUCUCUCUCUCUCUCUCUCUCUCUCUCUCUCGUGUUCUUGAUUUGACACGAUCUUGAUGUAUCGCGAGCUUUGCUAUUAUAGUUGGAUCUUAUGAUGUUUCUCCCCCUCUACUCUCUUGUAAUGGAUUGAGUUUUCCCUUUGAAGUUAUCUUAUCGGAUUGAGUCUUUAAGAAUUUGAGAACAAUUGAUGUAUGUCUUGCGUGGGAUACCCGUGGUCACAAUGGGGUGUUCUAUUGAUCUACUUGAUGUAUGUUUUGGUGAUCAACUUGCAGGUUCAGUGACAUUGGGAAUCUAUGCAUAGGGAUUGGCACACGUUUUCGUCUUGACUCUCCGGUAGAAACUUUGGGGCACUCUUUGAAGUACUUUGUGUUGGUUUGAAUAGAUGAAUCUGAGAUUGUGUGAUGCAUUCGUAUAAUCAUACCCAAGGAUACUUGAGGUGACAUUGGAGUAUCUAGGUGACAUUAGGGUUUUGGUUGAUUUGUGUCUUAAGGUGUUAUUCUAGUAUGAACUCUAGGAUAGAUCGAACGGAAAGAAUAGCUUCGUGUUAUUUUACUACGGACUCUUGAAUAGAUCGAUCAGAAAGGAUAAUUUUGAGGUGGUUUCAUACCCUACAAUAAUCUCUUUGUUUGUUCUCCACUAUUAGUGACUUUGGAGUGACUCUUUGUUGCAUGUUGAGGGAUAGUUAUAUGAUCCAAUUAUGUUAUUCUUGUUGAGAGAACUUGCACUAGUGAAUGUAUGAACCCUAGGCCUUGUUUCAACGCAUUGCAAUACCGUUUUCACUCACUUUUAUCAUUAGUUACCUUGCUGUUUUUAUAUUUUCAGAUUACAAAAACCUAUAUCUACCAUCCAUAUUGCACUUGUAUCACCAUCUCUUCGCCGAACUAGUGCACCUAUACAAUUUACCAUUGUAUUGGGUGUGUUGGGGACACAAAAGACUCUUUGUUAUUUGGUUGUAGGGUUGUUUGAGAGAGACCAUAUCCAUCCUACGCCUCCCACGGAUUGAUAAACCUUAGGUCAUGCACUUGAGGGAAAUUUGCUACUGUCCUACAAACCUCUGCACUUGGAGGCCCAACAACAUCUACAAGAAGAAGGUUAUGUAGUAGACAUCAGUUUGGCGGUCCUUCCUGUCCCGUCCCCGUCCUCACUACCGUCCAUCGCCCGCGCCGAUCUCGUUGCCGGCGCCACUGUGGUGAGCCUCUUGUUCUUAUCUUCUUUCUAAAAGAAAAAAUUCUUACUUAUAUGAUUUAGAUUGCUACUUGUAUAAUUUUCUUACUUUUAUUAGUGUUUGAAUGUUUGUUAUUAUAUAGUGCGAUGGUUUUGGUAUUCGCCCCCGUCGACCCUCAUCCUGUCUAUGAUUCGGAUGUGGUAUAUACUAUCUUUUAUAACUAUUUCUUUCAUUUAGUGUUUAUGAUAAUUAUGCCGACCAAUGUGACAUAGAUGUUUUAUGUAGGAGGUAUGUGGACCGAAAAUUCCAACUGACCCUCUUGUCGAGAGGUUAAAAUUUAGUUGAAAAAGAAAAUGAUUACUUGAAGAAAAAAAAUGAAAAGAAUUGAGGAGGAGAAGAUGGCAUUGGAGUUGCAUGUUGUGGAUAUCAUCGAUGAUCACAAGAUCAAGAUGUAUAAAAUGUGCUUGAAGAUUAGAAAAUUUUAAAAAUAUGCCAUUCAUACUGAGGCUUGGUAUCAUUAUGCAGUUGGAUCAAUUGUUACCUUAGUUGCGAUUAUGAUCGCAUAUGUUGUUGCAUUGAAAUGUUUUACAUAGUUUCAAUGUAUGGUUUAAUUAGAUGCUCACGAGAGCUAUAUGUUGUUCAAUGAGAACUAUGUAUUAACUUUAUGUAUCUAUUUUUUCAGUAAUAACAUUUGAUCACUACUGUACUUUGGUUUUAAUGUGAUGAUGAAAUCCCUUUGUAACAGAUGAGUUUUCGCCCGAAGCCCUGAUACUUCGAAAGAGAUUGUCCGUUUUGCACACGAAGUGCAUCCAGUUUUUGCCGUAACCCUCUCAGCUUUUUAGAACAUGCUAUGUGGGUGAAAUGAUGAUACCAUGCCAACUUUCAACCUUUUCAGAGUUCAUUUUAAGUGCUUUUCAAUUUCAGGGUCAUUGUGACGCACUCGAUUCAAUCGUACACUAAUCAUACACGCAAAUGUGUACGAUCAACAUCAAGGACUCACGGGAAGAUAUCACUGUUGGAAAUAUGCCCUAGAGGCAAUAAUAAAUUGGUUAUUAUUAUAUUUCCUUGUUUAUGAUAAUCGUUUAUUAUCCAUGCUAGAAUUGUAUUGAUAGGAAACUCAGAUACAUGUGUGGAUACAUAGACAACACCAUGUCCCUAGUAAGCCUCUAGUUGACUAGCUCGUUGAUCAAUAAGAUGGUUACGGUUUCCUGACCAUGGACAUUGGAUGUCGUUGAUAACGGGAUCACAUCAUUAGGAGAAUGAUGUGAUGGACAAGACCCAAUCCUAAGCCUAGCACAAGAUCGUGUAGUUCGUUUGCUAAAGCUUUUCUAAUGUCAAGUAUCAUUUCCUUAGACCAUGAGAUUGUGCAACUCCCGGAUACCGUAGGAGUGCUUAGGGUGUGCCAAACGUCACAACGUAACUGGGUGGCUAUAAAGGUACACUACAGGUAUCUCCGAAAGUGUCUCUUGGGUUGGCACGAAUCGAGACUGGGAUUUGUCACUCCGUGUAAACGGAGAGGUAUCUCUGGGCCCACCUGGUAGGACAUCAUCAUAAUGUGCAUAAUGUGACCAAGGAGUUGAUCACGGGAUGAUGUGUUAUGGAACGAGUAAAGAGACUUGCUGGUAACGAGAUUGAACAAGGUAUCGGAUACCGACGAUCGAAUCUCGGGCAAGUACAAUACCGCUGGAGAAAGAGAAUUGUAUACGGGAUUGAUUGAAUCCUCGACAUCGUGGUUCAUCCGAUGAGAUCAUCGUGGAACAUGUGGGAGCCAACAUGGGUAUCCAGAUCCUGCUGUUGGUUAUUGGCCAGAGAGUUGUCUCGGUCAUGUCUGCAUGGUUCCCGAACCCGUAGGGUCUACACACUUAAGGUUCGGUGACGCUAGAGUUGUUAUGGGAAAUAGUAUGUGGUUACCGAAGGUUGUUCGGAGUCCCGGAUGAGAUCCCGGACAUGACGAGGAGCUCCGAAAUGGUCCGGAGGUGAAGAUCAGUAUAUUGGACGAAGGGUAUUGGAGUCCGGAAUUGUUCCGGGGGUACCAGGUGAUGACCAGCGUGUCCGAAAGGGAUUUCGGAGGCCCCGACAAGCGUUGGGGGGCCUUAUGGGCCAAGGGGAGAGGGCACAUCAGCCCACUAAGGGGCUGAGCGCCCCUCCCACCACAUCUCACGUAACCAGGAGAGGUGGGGGCGCCACCCCUAGGGCAGCCGCCCCUCCCGGCUUGGGGGGCAAGUUUCCUAGGGGGUGGGGGCGCCCAAACCCAUCUAGGGUUUCCUCUAUGGCCGCCGCCCCUCCCCUAGGGAACCCUAGGGCGCCUCCCCCUCCUCCCUCCCCCCUAUAUAUAGUGAGGGAGAGAGAGGGCAGCCGUACCUUUCCCCUGGCGCAGCCCUCUUCCUCCUCCAACACCUCAUCCUCCUCCGUAGUGCUUGGCGAAGCCCUGCCAGUGAACCACGAGCUCCAUCAUCACCACGCCAUCAUGCUGUCGGAGUUUUCCCUCAACUUCUCCUCUCACCUUGCUGGAUCAAGAAGGAGGAGACGUCUCCCAACCGUACGUGUGUUAAAUGCGGAGGUGCCGUCCGUUCAGCGCUAGGAUCAUCGGUGAUUUGGAUCACGACGAGUACGACUCCAUCAAUCCCAUUCACUUGAACGCUUCCGCUUAGCAAUCUACAAGGGUAUGUAGAUGCAAUCUCCUUCCCCUCAUUGCUAGAUUACUCCAUAGAUUGAUCUUGGUGAUGCGUAGAAAAUUUUGAAUUUCUUCUACGUUCCCCAACAAUGGCAUCAUGAGCUAGGUCUAUGCGUAGUUUCUAUGCACGAGUAGAACACAAAGCAGUUGUGGGCGUCGAUAUUGUCAAUUUACUUGCCGUUACUAGUCUUAUCUUGAUUCGGCGGCAUCGUGGAAUGAAGCGGCCCGGACCGACCUUACACGUACGCUUAUGUGAGACUGGUUCCACCGACUGACAUGCACUAGUUGCAUAAGGUGGCUAGCGGGUGUCUGUCUCUCCCACUUUAGUCAGAUCGGAUUCGAUGAAAAGGGUCCUUAUGAAGGGUAAAUAGAAAUUGGCAUAUCACAUUGUGGUUUUCGCGUAGGUAAGAAACAUUCUUGCUAGAAACCUAUAGCAGCCACGUAAAAACUUGCAACAACAAUUAGAGGACGUCUAACUUGUUUUUGCAGCAUAUGCCUUGUGAUGUGAUAUGGCCAAAAGGAUGUGAUGAAUGAUAUAUGUGAUGUAUGAGAUUGAUCAUGUUCUUGUAAUAGGAAUCACGACUUGCAUGUCGAUGAGUAUGACAACCGGCAGGAGCCAUAGGAGUUGUCUUAAUUUAUUUAUGACCUGCGUGUCAACAUAACCGUCAUGUAACAACUUCAAGAAGACACGAUGAUGGAGAUCAUGAUUGAAAGGAUCGAUAUGGUUGACUAGAGGGGGGGGUGAAUAGGCAACUAACAAUUUUUAGCUUUUCUUUAACAAUUUAAACUUUGCAUCAAAGUAGGUUGUCUAGAUAUGCAACUAGGUGAGCAACCUAUAUGAUGCAACGAGGAUAGGUGCACAAGCAAGCAAGAGAUAUGAAACAAGUAAGCUUGCUCAAAUAAAGGCACGAGAUAACCAAGAGUAGAGACGGUGGAGACGAGGAUGUGUUGCCGAAGUUCCUUCCCUUUGAGAGGAAGUACGUAUCCGUUGGAGCGGUGUGGAGGCACAAUGCUCCCCAAGAAGCCACUAGGGCCACCGUAUUCUCCUCACGCCCUCACACAAUGCGAGAUGCCGUGAUUCCACUAUUGGUGCCCUUGAAGGCGGCGAACGAACCUUUACAAACAAGGUUGGGGCUCUCUCCGCAACUUAAUUGGAGGCUCCCAACAAAAACCACGAAGCUUCACCACAAUGGAAUAUGGCUCCGAGGUGACCUCAACCGUCUAGGGUGAUCAAACACCCAAGAGUAACAAAAUCCACACAAGAAAGUACGGGGGAAGCAAGUAUCCUUUGGUGGAAGUGUAGAUCUAGGUCUCCUCCUUCAAUCCCUAGCAAAUCAACAAGUUUGAGUGGCUAGAGAGAGAGAUCGGGCAAGAGAGCUUGAAGGGCAUUACUGGUGGAGUGAGAGAGGUCAAAGGUGGGAGUGGUAGGUGGGAGAAGCUCCCUUAAAUAGUCACCCACAUUUCCAACCGUUACUGCGUUUUUUGCACUUCAGCGGUACAACCGGUCCUCGUCCCGGUACAACCGGGACUCACGGUGUAACUGCAGAACCCUACCAAGCGGUACAACCGGACAGGCGGGCGGUAGUACCGGCUAAGAAAAAUAACCAGACUAACCGCCUGGCUACCGCACAACCACCGCAUCAAAACAGGAGCUUGACCGGUACUUGGGCGAUGCCUGGCUGGAACAACCGCAUGGCCUUGAGCUCUUGGGUAGCUAAGUUCUGAGCGGAAGAACCGCUCGGACCACCCGUGGUACCGGUCAUCGUGGAACGACCGGACCAACCGGGCCACUACCGCCCAAGAACCGCAUCAAACCAGAAGCGAGAGCGGUACUUGAGCGGUGCAUGGACGGAACCACCGCCCCCGCUGUUGCAGAGCAUGGUGGCGGUACCACCGCCCGGAGGCAGCGCUACAACCGCUCGAGCGAAGCUGGUGAGCAACAAGACCCAGCGGUACAACCGCUCCAGAGAGCGGUACACCGCUGGGAAGAAACAGUGAGCAGGAAAGAGGGGAAGAGGCAAGGAAAACUUGAAGGAAAUAUGCCCUAGAGGCAAUAAUAAAGUUAUUAUUUAUUUCCUUAUUUCAUGAUAAAUGUUUAUUAUUCAUGUUAGAAUUGUAUUAUCCGGAAACAUAAUACUUGUGUGAAUACAUAGACAAACUAAACGUCACUAGUAUGCCUCUACUUGACUAGCUCGUUAAUCAAAGAUGGUUAUGUUUCCUAACCAUAGACAUGUGUUGUCAUUUGAUUAACGGGAUCACAUUAUUAGGAGAAUGAUGUGAUUGACAUGACCCAUUCCAUUAGCUUAGCACCCGAUCGUUUAGUAUGUUGCUAUUGCUUUCUUCAUGACUUAUACAUGUUCCUAUGACUAUGAGAUUAUGCAACUCCCGUUUGCCGGAGGAAUACUUUGUGUGCUACCAAACGUCACAACGUAACUGGGUUAUUAUAAAGGAGCUCUACAGGUGUCUCCAAAGGUAAAUGUUGGGUUGGCGUAUUUUGAGAUUAGGAUUUGUCACUCCGAUUGUCGGAGAGGUAUCUCUGGGCCCUCUCGGUAAUGCACAUCACAUAAGCCUUGCAAGCAUUACAACUAAUGAGUUAGUUGCGAGAUGAUGUAUUACGAAACGAGUAAAGAGACUUGCCAGUAACGAGAUUGAACUAGGUAUUGAGAUACCGACGAUCGAAUCUCGGGCAAGUAACAUACCGAUGACAAAGGGAACAACGUAUGUUGUUAUGCGGUCUGACCAAUAAAGAUCUUCAUAGAAUAUGUGGGAGCCAAUAUGAGCAUCCAGGUUCCGCUAUUGGUUAUUGACCGGAGACGUGUCUCGGUCAUGUCUACAUUGUUCUCGAACCCGUAGGGUCUGCACGCUUAAGGUUUCGAUGACAGUUAUAUUAUGAGUUUAUGAGUUUUGAUGUACCGAAGGAGUUCGGAGUCCCGGAUGAGAUCGGGGACAUGACGAGAGUCUCGAAAUGGUCGAGACGUAAAGAUCGAUAUAUUGGACGACUAUAUUCGGACAUCGGAAAGGUUCCGAGUGAUUCGGGUAUUUUCGGAGGUACCGGAGAGUUACGGGAAUACGAGGAGGAAGCAAUGGGCCUUAAUGGGCCUUAGUGGGAAGGACCAGGAGGUGGCGCGCGCCCCUCCCAAGCCCAGUCCGAAUUGGACAAGGGGUUUGGGGCGCGGCCCCUCUCUCCCUUCCUUCCCCUCUUCCCCCCUUUCCCCCCUUCUCCUAGUUGGACUAGGAAAGGAGGAAACCUACUCCAACUAGGAGUAGGAAUCCUACUCCCUAGCACGCCCCUCCUAGGGCCGGCCUCCUCCCCCUUGCUCCUUUAUAUACGGGGGCAAUGGGGCACCUCUACACACACAAGUUGAUCCUCGUGAUCGUUUUCUUAGCCGUGUGCGGUGCCCCCUUCCACCAUAUACCUCGAUAGUAUUGUAGUGGUGCUUAGGAGAAGCCCUGCGACAGUUGAACAUCAAGAUCGUCACCACGCCCUCGUGCUGACGGAACUCUUCCCCGACACUUUGCUGGAUCGGAGUCCGGGGAUCGUCAUCGAGCUGAAUGUGUGCUAAAACUCGGAGGUGUCGUAGUUUCGGUGCUUGAUCGGUCGGGCCGUGAAGACGUACGACUACAUCAACCGCGUUGUGCUAACGCUUCCACUGUCGGUCUACAAGGGUACGUAGAUCACACUCUCCCCUCUCGUUGCUAUGCAUCACCAUGAUCUUGCGUGUGCGUAGGAAUUUUUUUGAAAUUACUACGUUCCCCAACAGUGGUAUCAGAGCCUAGGUUUUAUGUGUUGAUGUUAUAUGCACGAGUAGAACACAAGUGAGUUGUGGGCGAUAUAAGUCAUACUGCUUACCAGCAUGUCAUACUUUGGUUCGGCGGUAUUGUUGGACGAAGCGGCCCGGACCGACAUUACGCGUACGCUUACGCGAGACCGGUUCUCCCGACGUGCUUUGCACAAAGGUGGCUAGCGGGUGUUAGUUUCUCCAACUUUAGUUGAACCAAGUGUGGCUACGCCCGGUCCUUGCGAAGGUUAAAACAACACCAACUUGACAAACUAUCAUUGUGGUUUUGAUGCGUAGGUAAGAUUGGUUCUUGCUUAAGCCCGUAGCAGCCACGUAAAACUUGCAACAACAAAGUAGAGGACGUCUAACUUGUUUUUGCAGGGCAUGUUGUGAUGUGAUAUGGUCAAGACAUGAUGCUAAAAUUUUAUUGUAUGAGAUGAUCAUGUUUUGUAACCAAGUUAUCGGCAACUGGCAGGAGCCAUAUGGUUGUCGCUUUAUUGUAUGCAAUGCAAUUGCGCUGUAAUGCUUUACUUUAUCACUAAAGGGUAGCGAUAGUCGUGGAAGCAUAAGAUUGGCGAGACGACAACAAUGCUAUGAUGAUGAUCAAGGUGUCGCGCCGGUGACGAUGGUGAUCACGACGGUGCUUCGAAGAUGGAGAUCACAAGCACAAGAUGAUGGCCAUAUCAUAUCACUUAUAUUGAUUGCAUGUGAUGUUUAUCUUUUAUGCAUCUUAUCUUGCUUUGAUUGACGGUAGCAUUUUAAGAUGAUCUCUCACCAAUUAUCAAGAAGUGUUCUCCCUGAGUAUGCACCGUUGCAAAAGUUCUUCAUGCUGAGACACCAUGUGAUGAUCGGGUGUGAUAGGCUCUACGUUCAAAUACAACGGGUGCAAAACAGUUGCACACGCGGAAUACUCAGGUUAUACUUGACGAGCCAAGCAUAUACAGAUAUGGCCUCGGAACAUGGAGACCGAAAGGUCGAGCGUGAAUCAUAUAGUAGAUAUGAUCAACAUAGUGAUGUUCACCAAUGAAACUACUCCAUCUCACGUGAUGAUCGGACAUGGUUUAGUUGAUUUGGAUCACGUGAUCACUUAGAGGAUUAGAGGGAUGUCUAUCUAAGUGGGAGUUCUUAAAGUAAUACGAUUAAUUCAACUUAAAUUUAUCAUGAACUUAGUCCUGGUAGUAUUUUUGUAAAUCAUGUUGUAGAUCAAUAGCUCGCGUUGUUGCUUCCCUGUGUUUAUUUUGAUAUGUUCCUAGAGAAAAUUGUUUUGAAAGAUGUUAGUAGCAAUGAUGCAGGAUUGGAUCCGUGAUCUAAGGUUUAUCCUCAUUGCUGCACAGAAGAAUUAUGUCCUUGAUGCACUGCUAGGUGACAGACCUAUUGCAGGAGCAGAUGCAGACGUUAUGAACGUUUGGCUAGCUCAAUAUGAUGACUGCUUGAUAGUUUAGUGCACCAUGCUUAACGGCUUAGAAUCGGGACUUCAAAGACGUUUUGAACGUCAUGGAACAUAUGAGAUGUUCCAGGAGUUGAAGUUAAUAUUUCAAGCAAAUACCCGAGUUGAGAGAUAUGAAGUUUCCAACAAGUUCUAUAGCUAAAAGAUGGAGGAGAAUCGCUCAACUAGUGAGCAUGUGCUCAGAUUGUCUGGGUACUACAAUUGCUUGAAUCAAGUGGGAGUUAAUCUUCCAGAUAAAAUAGUGAUUAACAGAAUUCUCUAGUCACCAUCACCAAGUUAGUAAAACUUCGUGAUGAACUAUGAUAUGCAAGGGAUAACGGAAAUGAUUCCCAAGCUCUUCGUAAUGCUUAAAUUGACGAAGGUAGAAAUCGAGAAAAACAUCAAGUGUUGAUGGUAGACAAGACCACUAGUUUCAAGAAAAGGGCAGAGGGAAGAAGGGGAACUUCAAGAAGAACAGCAAGCAAGUUGCUGCUCAAGUGAAGAAGCCCAAGUCUGGUCCUAAGCCUGAGACUAAGUGCUUCUACUGCAAAGGGACUGGUCACUGGAAGCGGAACUAUCCCAAGUGAUUGGCGGAUAAGAAGGAUGGCAAAGUGAACAUAAGUAUAUUUGAUAUACAUGUUAUUGAUGUGUACUUUACUAGUGUUUAUAGCAACCCCUUAGUAUUUGAUACUAGUUCAGUUGCUAAGAUUAGUAGCUCGAAACGGGAGUUGCAGAAUAAACAGAGACUAGUUAAGGGUGAAGUGACAAUGUGUGUUGGAAGUGGUUCCAAGAUUGAUAUGAUCAUCAUCGCACACUCCCUAUAAUUUCGGGAUUAGUGUUGAACCUAAAUAAGUGUUAUUUGGUGUUUGCGUUGAGCAUGAAUAUGAUUUGAUCAUGUUUAUUGUAAUACAGUUAUUCAUUUAAGUAAGAGAAUAAAUUGUUGUUCUGCUUACAUGAAUAAAACCUUAUAUGGUUACACACCCAAUGAAAAUGGUUCAUUGGAUCUUGAUCGUAGUGAUACACAUAUUCAUAAUAUUGAAACCAAAAAGAUGCAAAGUUAAUAAUGAUAGUGCAACUUAUUUGUGGAACUGCCAUUUAGGUCAUAUUGGUGUAAAGCGCAUGAAGAAACUCCAUGCUGAUGGGAUUUUGGAAUCACUUGAUUAUGAAUCACUUGGUGCUUGCGAACCAUGCCUUAUGGGCAAGAUGACUUAAGACUCCGUUCUCCGGAACAAUGGAGCGAGCAACAUAUUUGUUGGAAAUCAUACAUACUGAUGUAUGUGGUCCGAUGAAUAUUAAAGCUCGCGACAAGUAUCAUUAUUUUCUGACCUUCACGGAUGAUUUAAGCAGAUAUGAGUAUAUCUACUUGAUGAAACAUAAGUCUGAAAAGUUCAAAGUAUUUCAGAGUGAAGUAGAAAAUCAUCAUGACAAGAAAAUAAAGUUUCUACGAUUUGAUCAUAGAGACGAAUAUUUGAGUUACGAGUUUGGUCUUCAAUUAAAACAAUGUGGAAUAGUUUCACAAACUCAUGCCACCUGGAACACCACAGCAUAAUGGUGUGUCCGAACGUCAUAACCGUACUUUAUUGGAUAUAGUACAAUCUAUGAUGUUUCUUACCGAUUUACCAAUAUCGUUUUGGGAUCAUGCAUUAGAGACAGCUGCAUUCACGUUAAAAAAUGGGGCACCAUCUAAGUCCGUUGAGACGACACAAUCUGAACUGUGGUUUGGCAAGAAACCAAAGUUGUUGUUUUUUAAAGUAUGGGAUUGUGAUGCUUAUAUGAAAAAGUUUCAUCUUGAUAAGCUCAAACCCAAAUCGGAGAAAUAUGUCUUCAUAGGAUACCCAAAGGAGACUGUUGGGUACACCUUCUAUCACAGAUCCGAAGGCAAGACAUUCAUUGCUAAGAAUGGAUCCUUUCUAGAGAAGGAGUUUCUCUCGAAAGAAGUGAGUGGGAGGAAAGUAGAAAACUUGAUAAGGUAAUUGUACCUUCUCCCUUAUUGGAAAGUAGUUCAUCAUAGAAAUCUGUUCUUGUGACUACUACACCAAUUAGUGAGGAAGCUAAUGAUGAUGAUCAUGUAACUUCAGAUCAAGUUACUACCGAAUCUCGUAGGUAAACCAGAGUAAGAUCCGCACCAGAGUGGUACGGUAAUCCUGUUCUGGAAGUCAUGUUACUAGACCAUGACAAAUUUGCGAACUAUGAGGAAGCGAUGAUGAGCCCAGAUUCCGCGAAAUGGUUUGAGGCCAUGAAAUCUGAGAUAUGAUCCAUGUAUGAGAACAAAGUAUGGACUUUGAUGGAUUUGCCCGAUGAUCAGCAAGCCAUAGAAAAUAAAUGGAUCUUCAAGAGGAAGAUGGACGCUGAUAGUAGUGUUACUAUCUACAAAGCUAGACUUGUCGAAAAAGGUUUUUGACAAAGUUCAAGGUGUUGACUACGAUGAAAUUUUCUCACUCGUAGCGAUGCUUAAGUCUGUCCCAAUCAUGUUAGCAAUUGCCGCAUUUUUAUGAAAUCUGGCAAAUGGAUAAACAAAACUACAUUCCUUAAUGGAUUUAAAGAAGAGUUGUAUAUGAUGCAACCAGAAGUUUUGUCAAUCCUAAAGGUGCUAACAAAAUAUGCAAGCUCCAGCGAUCCAUCUAUGGACUGGUGCAAGCAUCUCGGAGUUGGAAUAUACGUUUUGAUAAGUUGAUCAAAGCAUAUAGUUUUAUACAGACUUGCGGUGAAGCCUGUAUUUACAAGAAAGUGAGUGGGAGCACUACAGCAUUUCUGAUAAGUAUAUGUGAAUGACAUAUUGUUGAUCGGAAAUAAUGUAGAAUUAUUCUGCAAAGCAUAAAGGAGUGUUUUGAAAGAAUUUUUUCAAAGAAAGACCUCGGUGAAGCUGCUUACAUAUUGAGCAUCAAGAUCUAUAGAGAUAGAUCAAGACGCUUGAUAAGUUUUUUCAAUGAGUACAUACCUUGACAAGAUUUUGAAGUAGUUCAAAAUGGAACCGUCAAAGAAAGAGUUCUUGCUUGUGUAACAAGGUGUGAAAUUGAGUAAGACUCAAAGCCCGACCACGGCAGAAGAUAGAAGGAGAAUGAAAGUCAUUCCCUAUGCCUCAAUCAUAGGUUCUAUAAAGUAUGCCAUGCUGUGUACCUAUUGUAUACCCUACACUGUUUUUGGCAAGGGAGUACAAUAGUGAUCUAGGAGUAGAUCACUGGACAGUGGUCAAAAUUAUCCUUAGUGGAAUAAGGAAAUAUUUCUCAAUUAUGGUGGUGACAAAAGGUUCGUUGUAAAGAGUUACGUUGAUGCAAGCUUUGACACAUAUCUGGAUGACUCUAAGUCUCGAUCUAGAUACAUAUUGAAAGUGGGAGCAAUUAGCUAGAGUAGCUCCAUGCAGAGCAUUGUUGACAUAGAUAUUUGCAAAAUACUUACGGAUCUGAAUAUGAUAGACCCGUUGACUAAAAUUAUCUCACAAGCAAAACAUGAUCACACCUUAGUACUCUUUGGGUGUUAAUCACAUAGCGAUGUGAACUAGAUUACUGACUCUAGUAAACCUUUUGGGUGUUGGUCACAUAUCAAUGUGAACUAUGGGUGUUAAUCACAUAAAGAUGUGAACUAUUGAUGUUAGAUCACAUGGCAAUGUGAACUAGAUUAUUGACUCUAGUGCAAGUGGGAGACUGAAGGAAAUAUGCCCUAGAGGCAAUAAUAAAGUUAUUAUUUAUUUCCUUAUUUCAUGAUAAAUGUUUAUUAUUCAUGCUAGAAUUGUAUUAUCCGGAAACAUAAUACUUGUGUGAAUACAUAGACAAACUAAACGUCACUAGUAUGCCUCUACUUGACUAGCUCGUUAAUCAAAGAUGGUUAUGUUUCCUAACCAUAGACAUGUGUUGUCAUUUGAUUAACGGGAUCACAUUAUUAGGAGAAUGAUGUGAUUGACAUGACCCAUUCCAUUAGCUUAGCACCCGAUCGUUUAGUAUGUUGCUAUUGCUUUCUUCAUGACUUAUACAUGUUCCUAUGACUAUGAGAUUAUGCAACUCCCGUUUGCCGGAGGAACACUUUUGUGCUACCAAACGUCACAACGUAACUGGGUGAUUAUAAAGGAGCUCUACAGGUGUCUCCAAAGGUAAAUGUUGGGUUGGCGUAUUUCGAGAUUAGGAUUUGUCACUCCGAUUGUCGGAGAGGUAUCUCUGGGCCCUCUCGGUAAUGCACAUCACAUAAGCCUUGCAAGCAUUGCAACUAAUGAGUUAGUUGCGAGAUGAUGUAUUACGAAACGAGUAAAGAGACUUGCCGGUAACGAGAUUGAACUAGGUAUUGAGAUACCGACGAUCGAAUCUCGGGCAAGUAACAUACCGAUGACAAAGGGAACAACGUAUGUUGUUAUGCGGUCUGACCGAUAAAGAUCUUCGUAGAAUAUAUGGGAGCCAAUAUGAGCAUCCAGGUUCCGCUAUUGGUUAUUGACCGGAGACGUGUCUCGGUCAUGUCUACAUUGUUCUCGAACCCGUAGGGUCUGCACGCUUAAGGUUUCGAUGACAGUUAUAUUAUGAGUUUAUGAGUUUUGAUGUACCAAAGGAGUUCGGAGUCCCGGAUGAGAUCGGGGACAUGACGAGGAGUCUCAAAAUGGUCGAGAUGUAAAGAUCGAUAUAUUGGACGACUAUAUUCGGACAUCGGAAAGGUUCUGAGUGAUUUGGGUAUUUUCGGAGGUAUCGGGGAGUUACGGAAAUACGAGGAGGAAGCAAUGGGCCUUAAUGGGCCUUAGUGGGAAGGACCGGGAGGUGGCGCGCGCCCCUCCCAAGCCCAGUCCGAAUUGGACAAUGGGUUUGGGGCGCGGCCCCUCUCUCCCUUCCUUCCCCUCUUCCCCCCCUUUCCCCCUUCUCCUAAUUGGACUAGGAAAGGAGGAAACCUACUCCAACUAGGAGUAGGAAUCCUACUCCCUAGCGCGCCCCUCCUAGGGCCAGCCUCCUCCCCCUUGCUCCUUUAUAUACGGGGGUAGGGGGGCACCUCUACACACACAAGUUGAUCCUCGUGAUCGUUUUCUUAGCCGUGUGCGGUGCCCCCUUCCACCAUAUACCUCGAUAAUAUUGUAGUGGUGCUUAGGCGAAGCCCUGCGACAGUUGAACAUCAAGAUCGUCACCACGCCGUCGUGCUGACGGAACUCUUCCCCGACACUUUGCUGGACCGGAGUCUGGGGAUCGUCAUCGAGCUAAACGUGUGCUAAAACUCGGAGGUGCCGUAGUUUUGGUGCUUGAUCGGUCGGGCCGUGAAGACGUACGACUACAUCAACCGCGUUGUGCUAACGCUUCCACUAUCGGUCUACAAGGGUACGUAGAUCACACUCUCCCCUCUCGUUGCUAUGCAUCACCAUGAUCUUGCGUGUGCGUAGGAAUUUUUUUUAAAUUACUACGUUCCCCAACAAAACUCUCUCUCUCUCACACCUGAGGAAGGCAAAGAGAGGGUGAGAAAAGUGUACGUGAACUGAUUCCCCCAGAGCUUCCUAAUGAGGAUUCCCUCUUGAUAGUACGGGUACUCUACGACCAAAGAAAAUAAAAGCGUAGAGGACACGUCUUCGAUCUUUUCCUUCGAGAGGCAAUAGCAAUCCGAUGUAAGCCUAAGCGUCGAGAACUUGAAACAUAUAGCACACAAUUAGACCACAAAGGGUUGUCAUCAUCAUCCAAAACAUAAAGUAGGGAAAUGCCCUUUCAAUCUCCCCCUUUUUGGUGAAUGAUGACAACAACACGAUUUGCAAGAGAUAAGUCAAUGAAAUCUAGACGGAACUCCCCCCGAAUGUGUGCCCCAAUAAGUACUAGCUAUUAGAAAGCAUGGGGACACUUUCAGGACUAGACUCCCCCUAGAUUUUAUAGACUCAUCACUCUGAGCUCAAAAGGAUAGACAAUAUAAUACUUAGAGGCAAUAAUAAUGAUAAUGACCUACGAACGGAAAGGUAAACGGAGUAACAAGUCUCACACACAGCACGGAACGAAACAAGUCCACAAACAAACACAAAACACGAGAACAAGAGAAAAACCCAAGCAAAUCCCCGAGACCUAUAGAACCCUCUCCCCCUUUGGCAUCAAGACACCAAAAAGGAAAAGAGCAAAGCUAGCGACCCAAAGCUCAGGCGUCCUCCUCUGACUCCUCGGUCGCAUCUGGAUCUUCAUCAUCAGAGUCAUGAUCGUUAUCGUGAUCAGAUUCUUCCAUGGCAUUGUCAGCUGCUGCAAACGAGGAUGAUGGCUGGGGAGGGGCUUCAUCAUCAGUCCAGGUGCUAUGGGUAGAGAUCCAACGCUCCUCUGGGGUGAUGCUCUUCUCAGAGCCACUCUGAACCUGCAUGUUGAGGUGCUUCAUCAUUGCAAUUUGGCAACACCGUGCAAGCUUCUCAUUGACAUGUGCCUCAUACAUCUUCUUCUGGAUGUCAGCCUGGAGAAAAAAGGUCUUCUUCACCUUGGCAGUAAGUUUGGCCACCCACGAAGGCUUGGCCCCUGGCUCCAGCUCAAAGUCCUCAUCGUCAGAAGUAGCAUAGACAUCCUCAGGAGCAUGUUCAGGGAAGCGAGGCUCGGCAUGCUUCUUCUUCUUAAGGAGCUUGACCUCAUGAACAGUGAGGUUGUCUGGAGAAGUGAGGAGCUCUCCAGGACGACGAACAGCCCACACAGAGUUCAGAAAGCACAUGACAAACGGAGCGUAGAUUGGGACUUUACGGUAGAUGACCAUGUUGUACAUCUCAUGCCACAGCCAAUUUGACACAUCAAACGUUGCCCCUGUCCCCACCAUGGUCUUCAUAGCAACCAUCAAAUCAACCAGAUAGCCAUGAAUCUCAUCUUGAUUGCCCACCUUGGGCAAGAGCACAUUGCGGAACACUUGAUGCAUGAUGUCAUAGUCCUUCUCCAAAUCCUUGGAUUCUCCAACAAUCCCACGGCCCCGAAUGUACAGAGGGGCAAGCUUCUCCUUAGGCAUGGACUCAGGAAAAUCAUGAGGGCGAAUGCCACCCCUUCCUUCCAGACCGGUAUCCUCGUACCCAAUAGCAUUGCAGAAAGCCCUCCAGGGAACGUGAAACAAUUCAUCGCGACACAUGAAGGUGAGAGUGCGCGCAUCAUCUUCCCCAAAAUGAACCGUGGCAUAGAACUGAUGGAUAAGUUGAACAUCAAAGUCACAGUUGACUGACAUGAUCUUGACAAGAUCAAACUCCUCGCAUAGAGCUAGCGCCUCACCAAAAUACUCCAUGUUGUUUCUCCAAUGAUCAAAAUCAAUUGUCCACUGCUUGGCAUAUCUGUUCUUGUUGUGCUCAAAGAGUUCAUGAACAAUCCGCACUUGCAUCUCAUUCCGGAACUGAACAGUGGUCCAACGGGGAGCAAUGGGAACCUCAUACGGAUUCUUUGAGCAGAAGGCUUCCCAAUCGUUGGAUUUCCAACGAUGCAACGGCAUAACCACAUGUUACUUAGCAGCUGCAGACUUUUCACGGCGAGUGGGCUUGGUGGGAAUCACAACUUCUUCUUCUUCAUCAGACACAACCGGGCGCAAGGUCCUUUGUGCCCUCUUCUUGGUCUUGCGAGGAGCAGAGCGAGAACUAGAGCCACCUGAACACACACACGAAAAGAACACACAAAAACCCAACAAGGAUGAGAGGAUUGCACCCACUAGCAGAAAAGGAACAAGUUGCAACAACAGAGAAGAUAGAAUAGUGCUUAGUGGUUGAUAUACUCCGGUUGUACCGGAUCUUCCGCCGGUAGUACCGCUCCAGCGGUUGUACCGCCCGUAGGGGCGGUAGAACCGCUAACAGUGGCACUACCAGGGAAGAUAGAUCUAACCGAGGCAUAUGAAUCACACAAGUAAUAUUCCGAAUUCUAAGUGCUGCAAACAAGACAUGAGGCUAACAAAGAACUCUUCUAAGCCAUAGAUCGAACACUAAACGCGGAAAGAUGAGUAAAGCCCUAGACAAGGAAGAACCCUAAAAAAAUCUAGAGGCAAAGAACACGAGGCAUUACCACCAUCCAUGGGAAGAGAUCGGGAGGCCUCCACGGAGAGAAUCCACGAAGAGCCAAGGAUCCGAAGCACGAGACGCACUCCGGGGCAGGGGUAGAGAUGGCCGACAGCUAGGGCAAAAAAAGAAGAGGAACAAGGACGAAGGGAAAAAGACAACCCUUCAGCCCCGUCGAGUAUAUAUAGGCCCGUACACAUGCCCCGGUAGAACCGCUUAGGGGAGCGGUUGUACCGCUCGUCUGGUACAGACCGGUGGAUGGAGGCGGUACUUCCGGUGCCUGGGAGGCAGCGGUAGUACCGCACCGCAUCAACCGGUAGUACCGGACGUGGGUUACCAUGGGUUUGUGCGGUGGAACCGCCCAAGCACCGAACGGAGACCCUUGGGACGGCACAACCCGGUACCAGCGGUAGAACCGCUCGUGGUACCGAUUGUACUACCCGACCACCUAAGCCCAAGCCAAGAUCAAAUGAGUGCAAUCCUAAGGGAGGAAGAAGGGGCACAAAACAGGAGAGAAACAACACCCUAGGAGAACCUAACACAAAGAGCAAAGACAGAAAGAGAGAAAACAACACGAGAACAACAAGGCUAACUCCAACCUCCCGAAGAGAGGACGGUGGCCGAGGCCACCUAUGUUUGAGUCAAUUGGUAUGGCACCGCGAAGAAUUAUCCUUGGGUCCAUGACCAAAACUCGUCUUUGAAGCACAAGUACCAUCAAAUAUGGCUAAUGUGAAAGACACGAUCAAUUUAUGCAUAAUGGGGGGAGGGAGAGUUCAUUGAGAGAACAACACUCCCCCUAUGUCCAUGCCUACACCUAAACUAGACAACAAAUUGAGCGUGGUAGGGUGUGCAAGGGUUCAAGCCACAUUGCUCGAAUCAAUGAUAUUUAGCUCAUGCCUUAACUCGCGAAAUCUUGCUUCAUCCAAGGGCUUCGUGAAAAUAUCUGCAAGGUUGUCAUGAGUGUUGACAUAGUUGAGCUCGAUCUCUCCUCGUCUAAUGUGAUCCCGGAUGAAGUGAUACCGGAUCUCAAUAUGCUUUGUCUUGAAAUGUUGCACCGGAUUGAGAGAGAUCUUGAUGGCACUUUCAUUGUCACAGCAAAGAGGCACUUUGUCACAAGUGACACCGUAAUCCUUUAAAGUUUGCCUCAUCCAUAGGAGUUGAGCACAACAACUACCGGCGGCAACAUACUCCGCCUCAGUGGACGAGAGAGACACACAUCUUUGCUUUUUGGAAGACCAACUUACCAAAGAGCAACCAAGGAAUUGGCACCCUCCGGAAGUGGACUUCCUAUCCACUUUGUCUCCCGCCCAAUCGGAAUCCGAGUACCCUACAAGCUUGAAGUUUGAUCCUCUGGGGUACCAUAGGCCAAAGUUUGGGGUAUGAGCCAAAUAUCGAAAGAUUCAUUUGACCGCCACAUAGUGACUUUCCUUAGGUGCGGCUUGAAACCAUGCACAAAUUCCCACACUCAACAUGAUGUCCGUUCUAGAUGCACAAAGGUAAAGCAAGGAUCCAAUCAUGGAACGAUAUACCUUUUGAUCCACCACUUUACCAUUGGGAUCUAAGUCAAGUUGGCACUUGGUGGGCAUUGGAGUGGAAGCCGGCUUGACGUCACUUAGCUUGAAUCUCUUGAGCAUGUCUUGAGUGUAUUUUGAUUGAUUGAUGAAGGUUCCUUCUCUUCUUUGCUUCACUUUGAACCCUAGAAAGAACUUCAACUCUCCCAUGGAGGACAUCUCGAACUUUAAGGUCAUGAGAGCGGCAAAUUCCUCAUUGAAAGCUUUGUUAGGAGAACCAAAGAUAAUAUCAUCAACAUAUAAUUGGCACACAAACAACUCCCCUUUGACCUUCUUAGUAAAAAGAGUGGGGUCGAUUAGCCCAACUUCAAAACCACGGUCUUGUAACAACUCGGUAAGGUGGUCAUACCACGCACGUGGGGCUUGUUUAAGGCCAUAGAGCGCCUUAUCGAGUUGAUACACAUGAUCGGGAAAGUAGGGAUCCUCGAACCCGGGGGGUUACUUGACGUAAACCAAUUCAUUAAUGGGACCAUUAAGAAAAGCACUCUUCACAUCCAUUUGUUGUAACUUAAAGUUAUGAUGAGAAGCAUAUGCAAUCAACAUGCGAAUGGAUUCAAGACGAGCAACGGGAGCAAAGGUUUCACCAUAGUCGAUACCCUCGACUUGGGAGUAGCCUUGUGCUACCAAACGAGCCUUGUUGCGAAUGAUAAUCCCAUGGGCAUCUUGCUUGUUCUUGAAUAUCCACUUGGUUCCAAUGACAUUGUGGUUCCCCGUUGGCCUUGGCACCAAUCUCCACACUUUGUUGCGCUCGAAGUUGUUGAGUUCUUCGUGCAUGGCAUUGAGCCAAUCCGGAUCUUCUAGCGCCUCAUAGACCUUGUGGGGUUCCACACAAGAGACAAACACGUGAUGCUCACAAUAAUUUGCUAAUUGUCUACGAGUGCUUACCCCCUUUCUUAAGCUUCCAAGCACAUUCGUCAUGAGAUGAUCCUUGGUGGAGAGCUUGGAUGCAAUCUUGGCGGCACGACGCUCUAAUUCCUCCUCGGUGGUGAGUUGAGGAGCGGUUACUUGAUCAUCUUGAGCGCCGUCAUGAACUUGUUCUUGAUCUUGAACUUGCUCGGGGGAGAGAACUUGACCUUGGGCAUCACUUGGUGUGUCAACACCGUCUUGAGUAUGAUCUUGCCCUUGGUCUUGUUCAUGAGGUUGAGGGCCUUCACUUUGUUCUUCGGAAGCGUGUGGGCCUUGGGUUGGUGAUGGCUCCACUUGAGUGGAGCAUUGUCCUUCUCCUUCGGCCACAAGGGGUUCCUCAAUGGGUAGGAUAAAACCAACACCCAUUCUUCUUAUGGCUUGAGGAGGAAUUUCAUCACCUACAUCACAAGUGCCACUUUGCUCCACUUGGGAGCCGUUAUUCUCAUCAAACUCCACGUUACACGUCUCCUCAAUAAGUCCCAUGGAUUUAUUGAGGACACGGUAAGCAUGAGAGUUUGUAGCAUAACCAACAAAUAUGCCCCUAUGAGCUCUAGCCUCAAAUUUAGACAACCAAACACCUUUCUUGAGAAUGAAACACUUACACCCGAAUACCCGGAAGUACUUGAGGUUGGUCUUGUUACCGGUGAGUAUCUCAUAUGGAGUCUUGUUCAAGCCCUUGCGGAGGUAGAGCCGAUUGGAUGCAUGACACGCGGUGUUGAUGGCUUCGGCCCAAAAGUUGUACGGAGACUUGAACUCCGCCAUCAUGGUCCUUGCCGCAUCCAUCAACGUCCGGUUCUUCCUCUCCGCAACACUGUUUUGUUGAGGGGUGUAUGGUGCGGAAUAUUGAUGCUUGAUUCCCUCAUCACUAAGAAAUUCAUCCAAGGUGUAGUUCUUGAACUCGGUGCCGUUGUCACUUCUUAUUGUCAAGAUCUUUGCAUUGUGUUGACGCUGUGCUUCAUUUGCAAAGUCAAUGACGGUUUGUUGGGUCUUGCUCUUCCUCUUGAAGAAAUACACCCACGUGUACCUUGAGUAGUCAUCCACAAUCACCAAGCAAUACUUCCUACCUCCAAGACUAUCGAAGGAUGGAGGCCCAAAGAGAUCCAUGUGAAGGAGCUCCAAAGGCCUCUUUGAAUAAAUGAUAGUCGUGGGAGGGUGAGCCUUCUCAUGUAGCUUUCCUUCGAUACAGGCACUGCAAGCAUGAUCUUUAGCAAAACUAACAUUCGUUAGUCCACGGACAUGGUCCCCCUUGAGGAGACUUUGCAAAGAUUUCAUAUUGACAUGGGCUAAACGGCGAUGCCAAAGCCAUCCCACAUCAACUUUAGCCAUUAGGCAUGUCGCGGUCUUAGUGGGUCGCUCCGAAAAGUUAAUCACAUAUAGACCGUUCUCGACAUGCCCAACAAAGGCUACUUUAAGAGUCUUGCUCCACAAGAGGGCCACGGUAUCGAUAUCAAAGAAAGUGGCAAAGCCCAUGAUUGCAAGUUGACGAACGGAAAGUAAAUUGUAUGCAAGGGACUCAACAAGCAUGACCUUCUCUAUCGUGAGAUCAUGAGAGAUGACCACCUUGCCAAGUCCCAAUACCUUAGAAGAUGAGGCGUCACCCCACUCGACAUUGGUGGGCAUAGAUGGAACCUUGUGCACGUCCACCACCAAGUCCUUGCUUCCGGUCAUAUGAUUUGUAGCUCCGCUAUCGAGCAACCAUGAUCCACCACCGGAAGCAAACACCUACAAGAGAUCAAUGCUUGGUUUUAGGUACCCAUUUUGUAAUGGGUCCUUUGAUGUUAGUAACAAGGGUCUUAGGAACCCAAAUAGACCAUUCAAUGUAUUCAUGAAGAGAACCAACAAAUUUGGCAUAAACAUGCCCAUCACUAGCAUGGCAUAACACAUAAGAAGGAUUAAAAUCGCCGACUUUGUUGGGAGGGGUGACAUUGCCCUUCUUGACAUUGUUCUUCUUCUUCUCCUCGGGGGCACUCUCUCCCUCCCUCAAAAAGGUUUGCAUGAGAGGAGGAGGUCAUUUGGUCUUGUCAUUCUUCUUCUUGUUCUUGGAGUCGGGCACGUACCCAACCCCUUCCUUGGCCACAACUCCCUUUUGGUUGAUCAAGAGAUCGUUGAGGUUCUUCUUGCCUUGUAUGCAAGUCGCAAGACCUCUCUCAAGUUGCUCCUUCAACUUAGCAUUUUCCUCAACAAGAUGUAUAUGCUCACAACACGGGUUAGUAGCAUUUGCAUUAUCAAUUAAAACCAUAUGAGGAAAAGUUGCUUUCUCCUUAGUUAGCUUCACUUGGAGUUGAUCAUGAGACUCCUUGAGAGUAGUGUGAAUACCCUUCAAGGCCUUGUGGGCCUUGUCAAGUAUAUCAAACUCCUCUUUGAGUCUAGCAAGAUCAACCCCAAGUUUGGCCUUCUCGGAAUUUAGCACACGAGAAACAAUGAGGACAUGAUCAUAAUCUUUCUUUAACUUAGCAUGAUCAACGUUGUGUGACUCCUCAAGAGCCAAACGAAGACCACGCUCUUCCUCAAGAGCAUUGGAAAGAUCCGAGAUCUCAUCGGCAUAGUCACGACUAUGCCCUUCCAUCUUAGAGAUGGUGUCCUCGUAAGCCUCGACCAUGUCAUUGGCUUCACCAAGUUGUUCCAAGAGAGCAACAAAGUGCUUCUUGGAUUUUCCCUUGAGUUUGCCCAUAAAGGCCUCAAACUCGUUAGCCUCCACAUUAGCUCCCUCAAGUUCAUUAAUGCAAUCCGUCAGGGAAGGAUGAUUAAUGAUGGUAGUUUUGAUGUUGGAGGUUACCUUGUUGGUGGCUUUAGCCAUGAGGCACUUGGCGGUGAUGCUCUCGUUGGGUGAGUCGAAGAGAGACACCCGUGACGUUGUUGCAAUGGCAACGGAGGCCAUGGCAACCGACUCAUCAUCUUCAUCAUCGUCAUCAUCCUCAUUGUACUCUUCUUGCACAACCAAAGCCUUGGGAGGAGUCUUCUUGGAGAAGUUGUUCUUGUUGGGGAACGACUUGGCCUUAUCCUUUCAGAUGAGCUUGCCACCAUUGUCUUCCCUCUUCUCAUACGGGCAUUCUGCAAGGAAAUGACUCACGUUGCCGCAAUUGUAGCAAGUCCUUACACGUUGCUUGCCCCUUGUACCACUCGAGUUGUUUUUGCUAAAGUUUGGCCUCGAGUUUUUCUUGCUCCAAAAUUGCCUUGAAGCAAGUGCCAUGUGUUCAUGAUACUUCGUAUCUUCGGGGUUGCUCUCCUCUUCUUCCUCUUCUUCGUCUUCCACGAUGAUCUUGGCCUUCAAUGCAAGGUUAGGCUUCUUUGCCCGUUGAGAACGGAGCACCGCAUUGUCGGCGGUCUUGUCCAAAAUGUUCAUGGCCACAAACUCAUCCAACACUUCGCUUGAGGUCAAAGUGUGGAAGUCCGGUCUUUGACGAAUGACGGAGGACAUGGCCUUGUGAUAGGGCAUCAUUGCCUUGAGGAAUUUGCGCUUGAUCCAAUUGUCAUCCGUGUCCUUGCUCCCGUGAUCUCGUAGUGAGACCGCGAGUUUGGUUACUCUCCGAUAGAGCUCAUGAGGUUCUUCAUCUUCCUUCAUUGCAAACUCAUCGGCCUCAUCUUGUACCACUUCAUAGUUGGAGCAUUGAAUGCUUGCGCUUCCCUGGUAGAGAGACACGACACAAUGCCAUGCAACUUUGGCCAAGGCGAAAGGACGAAGAUGAGGUAGGUCUUUGGGUGGAAUUGCAUCUUGAAUGAUGAAGAGAGCAUUCUCAUUGAAUUGAUUGUCCGUGGCUUCUCGAGGAGUGAAGUUGCUUGGAUCAUGUGGAUAGAAACCUUCUUCAAUGAUUCUCCAAAGGUUAGUGUUCACAUGAUUUAAAUGACGUUUAAAGCGGUGAACCCAAGAAUCAAAAUCCUCAUUUUUCACAAUCUUAGGGGGAGGACCGGCAUGAUUCAAAUGAGUGGAAGGAACCGGUCCACCAUAAACAAGUGGUGGUUCCACAUGGGCAAAGAUGCCGGUGCCAUUCUUGCCACUAGAAGAAGGAGCCUUUUCACUACUAGCUUCCCCCUUGUCGGGGAUAGCAUCCGUCACCUUGUUGGCGGGAUCACCCACUUUCAACGGUGCGGUGGAUAGUUUAAGCCCCUCAAGAAAUUUAGUAAACAUGCUUUCGACUUCGGUCGUCAUGGAGGUUUUCAAUGUCUCCAAGGCCACAUUGAACUCCUCACGAGAGACCGAAGUUCCCCCAUCUCCCGUAGACGAGAUCGGAUUCACACCAGAGUGUUCCUCCACACCGUCUAUGGUAUCAACCAUACUCUUUGGACGGUAAAGUCCUUAAUAACGAGACGAGGCUCUGAUACCAAUUGAAAGGAUCAAUAUGGUUGACUAGAGGGGGGGUGAAUAGGCAACUAGCAAUUUUUAGCUUUUCUUUAACAAUUUAAACUUUGCAUCAAAGUAGGUUGUCUAGAUAUGCAACUAGGUGAGCAACCUAUAUGAUGCAACGAGGAUAGGUACACAAGCAAGCAAGAGAUAUGAAACAAGUAAGCUUGCUCAAAUAAAGGCACGAGAUAACCAAGAGUGGAGACGGUGGAGACGAUGAUGUGUUGCCGAAGUUCCUUCCCUUUGAGAGGAAGUACAUCUCUGUUGGAGCGGUGUGGAGGCACAAUGCUCCCCAAGAAGCCAAUAGGGCCACCGUAUUCUCCUCACGCCCUCACACAAUGCAAGAUGCCGUGAUUCCACUAUUGGUGCCCUUGAAGGCGGCGACCGAACCUUUACAAACAAGGUUGGGGCUCUCUCCACAACUUAAUUGGAGGCUCCCAACAAAAACCACGAAGCUUCGCCACAAUGGAAUAUGGCUCCGAGGUGACCUCAACCGUCUAGGGUGCUCAAACACCCAAGAGUAACAAAAUCCACACAAGAAAGUAUGGGGAAAGCAAAUAUCCUUUGGUGGAAGUGUAGAUCUAGGUCUCCUCCUUCAAUCCCUAGCAAAUCAACAAGUUUGAGUGGCUAGAGAGAGAGAUCGGGCAAGAGAGCUUGAAGGGCAAUAAUGGUGGAGUGAGAGAGGUCAAAGGUGGGAGUGGUAGGUGGGAGAAGCUCCCUUAAAUAGUCACCCACAUUUCCAACCGUUACUACGUUUUUUGCACUUCAGCGGUACAACCGGUCCUCGUCCCGGUACAACCGGGACUCACGGUGUAACUGCAGAACCCUACCAAGCGGUACAACCGGAUAGGCGGGCGGUAGUACCGUCUAAGAAAAAUAACCGGACUAACCGCCUGGCUACCGCACAACCACCGCAUCAAAACAUGAGCUUGACCGGUACUUGGGCGGUGCCUGGCUGGAACAACCGCAUGGCCUUGAGCUCUUGGGCGGCUAAGUUCUGAGCGGAAGAACCGCUCGGACCACCCGUGGUACCGGUCAUCGUAGAACGACCGGACCAACCGGGCCACUACCGCCCAAGAACCGCAUCAAACCAGAAGCGAGAGCGGUACUUGAGCGGUGCAUGGACGGAACCACCGCCCUAGCUAUUGCAGAGUAUGGUGGCGGUACCACCUCCCGGAGGCAGCGGUACAACCGCUCGAGCAAAGCUGGUGAGCGACAAGACCCAGUGGUACAACCGCUCCAGAGAGCGGUACAACCGCUGGGCAGAAACAAUGAGCAGGAAAGAGGGGAAGAGGCAAGGAAAACUCUCUCUCUCACACACACCUGAGGAAGGCAAAGAGAGGGUGAGAAAAGUGUACGUGAACUGAUUCCCCCAGAGCUUCCUAAUGAGGAUUCCCUCUUGAUAGUACGGGUACUCUACGACCAAAGAAAAUAAAAGCGUAGAGGACAUGUCUUCGAUCUUUUCCUUCGAGAGGCAAUAGCAAUCCGAUGUAAGCCUAAGCAUUGAGAACCUGAAACAUAUAGCACACUAUUAGACCACAAAGGGUUGUCAUCAUCAUCCAAAACAUAAAGUAGGGAAAUGCCCUUUCAAUGAUGAUGGAGAUCAUGGUGUCAUGCCAGUGACAACGAUGAUCAUGGAAGACCGAAAGGUCGAACAUGAGUCGUAUAGAAGAUACGAUCAACAUGAGAUGUUCACCGUUGAUGACUAGUCCGUCUCACGUGAUGAUCAGACACGGCCUAGUCGAUUCGGAUCAUGUUUCACUUAGAUGACUAGAGGGAUGUCUAUCUAAGUGGGAGUUCAUUAAAUUAAUUUGAUUAGAUGAACUCAAUUAUCAUGAACAUAGUCUAAAUUGUCUUCGCAAAUAUGUUGUAGAUAAAUAGCUCACGUUGUAGCUCCCUGUUUCAAUACGUUCCUAGAGAAAGACUAAGUUGAAAGAUAUUGUAAGCAAUGAUGCGGACUGGGUCCGUAGUCCGAGGAGUGUCCUCACUACUACACAGAAGGCUUACGUCUUUGAUGCACCGCUCGAUGUGCAAACCCCUACAACGUCGUCUGUGGAUGUUGUGAACACCUGACAGACACGUCCUGAUGACUACUUGAUAGUUUAGUGCACCAUACUUUACGGCUUAGAAUCGGGAUUCCAAUGACGUUUUAAACGCCAUAGAACAUAUGAGAUGUUCCAAGAGCUGAAAUUGAGAUUUCAGGCUCAUGCCCGUGUUGAGAGGUGUGAGACCUCUGACAAGUUCUUUAGCCAACAAGAUGGAGGAGAAUAGCUCAGCUAGUGAGCAUGUGCUCAGAAUGUCUGGGUGCUACAAUCACUUAAAUCAAGUGGGAGUUAAACUUCCAGAUAAGAUAGUGAUUGAUAGAGUUCUCUAGCCACUAUCACUAAGCUACUAGAUCUUCGUGAUGAACUAUGACAUGCAAGGGAUGGAAUUGAUCCCGGAGCUGUUCGCGGUGCUUAAGACCGCAAAAGGUAGAAAUCAAGAAGGAGCAUCAAGUGUUGAUGGUUUAACAAGACCACUGGUUUCAAGAAGGGCAAUGGCUAGAAGGGAAACUUCAUGGAUGGCAAACCAGUUGCCGCUCCAGUGAAGGAACCCAAGGUUGAACCCAAACCCGAGACUAAGUGCUUCUAUUGUAAGGGGAAUGGGCACUGGUAGCGGAAUUACCCCAAAUGCAUGGUAGAUAAGAAGGCUGGAAACUUCAACAAAGUAUAUACGUGUUAUUAAUGUGUACCUCCCUAGUACUACUGGUAGCACCUGGGUAUUGGAUACCGGUUUAGUUGCUAUUACUGGUGACUUGAAGCAAAAGCUACGGACUAAACGGAGACUGGCUAAGGGUGAGGUGACGAUGUGUGUUGGCAGUGUUUCCAAAGUUGAUGAGAUCACCAUCGCACGCUCCAUCUGCCUUCGGGAUCAGUAUUGAACCUAGAUAAAUGUUAUCAGGUGUCUACGUUGAGCAUGAAUAUGAUUAGAUCAUGUUUAUUGCAAUACGGUUAUUCAUUUAAGUUAGAGAAUAAUGGUUAUUCUGUUUACAUGAAUAAUACCUUCCAUGGUCAUGCACCCUAUGUGAAUGGUUCAGUGAAUCUCGGUCGUAGUAAUACACAUGUUCACGCCAAAAUACGUAGAUAGUACCACUUUCUUGUGGCACUGCCGCUUAGGUCAUAUUGGCGUAAGAUGCAUGAAGAAACUCCAUGUCGAUGGAUGUUUGCAGUCACUUGAUUUUGAAUCGCUUGACACAUGCGAGCCAUGCCUCAUGGGCAGGAUGACUAAGACCCCGUUUUCAGGUACAAUGAAACGGGCAAGUGACUCGUUGGAAAUCAUACAUGCUGAUGCGUGUGAUCCAAUGAGAAUUGAAGCAUGCGGUGGAUAUCGCUAUUUUCUUAUCUUCACUGACGAUUUGAGUAGAUAUAGGUAUAUUUACUUAAUGAAGCACAAGUCUGAAACGUUUGAAAAGUUCAAGCGAUUUCAGAGUGAAGUUAAGAAUCAUCAUAACAAUAAGAUCAUGUUCCUAUGAUCUGAUCAAAAAGGGGAUUUUCUGAGUUAUGAGUUUGGCAAUCACUUACGACAUUGUGGAAUUGUUUCACAGUUGAAGCCACCUGGAACACCACAAGGUAAUGGUGUGUCCGGACGUCAUAAUCAAACCCUAUGAGAUAUGGCGCGAUCUAUGAUGUCUCUUACCAAUCUACCGUUUUCAUUUUGAGGUUAUGCGUUAGAGACAGUUGCAUUCACUUUAGAUAGGACACCAUUUAAGUCUGUUGAGACGAUGCCGUAUGAACAUUGGUUUGGCAAGAAACCAAAGUUGUCGUUUCUUAAUGUUUGGGGCUGCGAUGCUUAAGGCUUCAGCCGGAGAAGCUCGAACCCAAAGUGGACAAACACAUCUUCAUAGGAUACCCAAAGGUGACAGGUGGGUAUACCUUCUAUCUCAGAUCCAAGUGCAAGUCGUUUGUCGCUAAGAACGGGUCCUUUCUCGAGAAGGAGUUUCUCUCAAAAGAAUUGAGUGGGAGGAAGAUAGAACUUGAUGAGGUUGUCGAACCUUUACUUUAACCAGAGAGUGAUGCGACACAGAAAGAUGUUUUUUGUGGCGCCUACGUCUGAUGAAGAGGAAGUUAAUGAUAGUGAUCAUGAAGCUUUGGAUCAAGUUGCUAUCAAACCUCAUAGGUCGACAAGGAUAUGUACUACUCGUGAGUGGUACGAUAAUCCUGUCUUAAAUAUCAUGUUGUUAGACAACAAUGAACCUACGACCUAUGGAGAAGCGAUGGUGGGCCCGUAUUCCGACAAAUGGUUAGAAGCCAUGAAAUCCGAGAUAGGAUCCAUAUAUCAGAACAAAGUAUGGACUUUGGUGGACUUGCCCGAUGAUCGGCAAGCCAUUGAGAUAAAUGGAUCUUUAAGAAGAAGACGGGCAUGGGCGGUAAUGUUACCGUCUAUGAAGCUCGACUUGUGGGAAAGAGUCUUUUCACAAGUACAAGGAGUUGACUACGAUGAGAAUUUCUCACCCAUAGCGAUGCUUAAGUCCGUCGGAAUCAUGUUUGCAUUAGUUGUAUUUUUCGAUUUUGAAAUCUGACAGAUGGAUGUCAAAAACAAGUUUUCUUACCAGUUUUUGUAAGAAAGAGUUGUAUGUGAUACAAUCAAAGUUUUGUCGAUCCUAAGGAUGCUAAAAGGUAUGCUAGCUCCAGCGAUCCUUCUAUGGACUAGAGCAAGCAUCUCGGAAUCGGAAUAUAUGUUUUGAUGGAGUGAUCAAAGCUUUUAGGUUUAUGCAAUGUUUGCUAGAAACUUGUAUUUACAAGAAAGUGAGUGGGAGCACUACAACAUUUCUGAUAAGUAUAUGUGGAUGACAUAUUUUGAUCCGAAAUAAUGUAGAAUUUCUGGAAAGCAUAAACGGGUGUUUGAAGAGUGUUUUUCAAAGGAAGACCUGGAUAAAGUUGCUUACAUAUUGGGCAUCAAGAUCUAUAGAGAUAGAUCAAGACGCUUGAUGGUACUUUCAAAGAACGCACACCUUGACAUGUUUUUGAAGGAGUUCAAAAUAGAUCAGCCAAAGAAGGGGUUCUUACCCGAGUUGUAAGGUGUGAAGUUGAGUAAGACUCAAAGCUUGACCACAGCAGAAGAAAGAGGAAGGACGAAGGUUGUCCCCUAUGCUCUUGUCAUAGGCUCUAUACGGUAUGCCAUGCUGAGUACCGCACCUUAUGUGUGCCUUGCCACAUGUCUGGCAAGAGGGUACAAAGGUGAUCUAGGACUGGAUCACCAUAUAGCGGUCAAAAUUAUCCUUAGAGGAAUAAGGAAAUGUUUCUCGGUUAUGGAGGUGAUAAAGAGUUCGACGUAAAGAGUUACGUCGAUGCAAGCUUAACACCCAUCUGGAUAGCUCUGAGUAGAGAUACCGGAUACGUAUAAUGGAGCAACAAUUUGGAAUAGCUCCAAGUGGAACGUGGUAGCAGCAUCUACGAUAUGACAUAAAGUUUUGCAAAAUACAUAGGGAUCUGAAUAUGGCAAGACCCGUUGGCUACAACCUCUCUCACAAGCAUAACAUGAUCAAACCCAGAACUCAUUGAGUGUUAAUCACAUAGUGAUGUGAACUAGAUUAUUGAGUCUAGUAAACUCUUUGGAUGUUGGUCACAUGGCGAUGUGACCUGUGAGUGUUAAUCACAUGGCGAUGUGAACUAGAUUAUUGACUAUAGUGCAAGUGGGAGACUGUUGGAAAUAUGCCCUGGAGGCAAUAAUAAAUUGGUUAUUAUUAUAUUUCCUUGUUCAUCAUAAUCGUUUAUUAUCCAUGCUAGAAUUGUAUUGAUAGGAAACUCAGAUACAUGUGUGGAUACAUAGACAACACCAUGUCCCUAGUAAGCCUCUAGUUGACUAGCUCGUUGAUUAAUAAGAUGGUUACGGUUUCCUGACCAUGGACAUUGGAUGUCGUUGAUAACGGGAUCACAUCAUUAGGAGAAUGAUGUGAUGGACAAGACCCAAUCCUAAGCCUAGCACAAGAUCGUGUAGUUCAUUUGCUAAAGCUUUUCUAAUGUCAAGUAUCAUUUCCUUAGACCAUGAGAUUGUGCAACUCCCGGAUACCGUAGGAGUGCUUUGGGUGUGCCAAACGUCACAACGUAACUGGGUGGCUAUAAAGGUACAGUACAGGUAUCUCCGAAAGUGUCUGUUGGGUUGGCACGAAUCGAGACUGGGAUUUGUCACUCCGUGUAAACGGAGAGGUAUCUCUGGGCCCACUCGGUAGGACAUCAUCAUAAUGUGCACAAUGUGACAAAGGAGUUGAUCAUGGGAUGAUGUGUUAUGGAACGAGUAAAGAGACUUGCCGGUAAAGAUUGAACAAGGUAUCGGAUACCGACGAUCGAAUCUCGGGCAAGUACAAUACCGCUGGACAAAGGGAAUUGUAUACGGGAUUGAUUGAAUCCUCGACAUCGUGGUUCAUCCGAUGAGAUCAUCGUGGAACAUGUGGGAGCCAACAUGGGUAUCCAGAUCCUGCUAUUGGUUAUUGGCCAGAGAGUUGUCUCGGUCAUGUAUGCAUGGUUCCCGAACCCGUAGGGUCUACACACUUAAGGUUCGGUGACGCUAGAGUUGUUAUGGGAAAUAGUAUGUGGUUACCGAAGGUUGUUCGGAGUCCCAGAUGAGAUCUCGGACAUGACGAGGAGCUCCGGAAUGGUCCGGAGGUGAAGAUCGGUAUAUUGGACGAAGGGUAUUGGAGUCCGGAAUUGUUCCGGGGGUACCAGGUGAUGACCAGCGUGUCCGAAAGGGAUUUCCGAGGCCCCGGCAAGCGUUGGGGGGCCUUAUGGGCCAAGGGGAGAGGGCACAUCAGCCCAGUAAGGGGUUGAGCGCCCCUCCCACCACAUCUCACGUAACCAGGAGAGGUGGGGCGCCACCCCUAGGGCAGCCGCCCCUCCCGGCUUGGGGGGCAAGUUUCCUAGGGGGUGGGGGCGCCCAAACCCAUCUAGGGUUUCCCCUGUGGCCGCCGCCCCUCCCCUAGGGAACCCUAGGGUGCCUCCCCCUCCUCCCUUCCCCCUAUAUAUAGUGAGGGAGAGAGAGGGAAGCCGUACCUUUCCCCUGGUGCAGCCCUCUUCCUCCUCCAACACCUCAUCCUCCUCCGUAGUGCUUGGCGAAGCCCUGCCGGAGAACCACGAGCUCCAUCAUCACGACGCCGUCGUGCUGUCGGAGUUUUCCCUCAACUUCUCCUCUCACCUUGCUGGAUCAAGAAGGAGGAGACGUCUCCCAACCGUACGUUUGUUGAACGCGGAGGUGCCGUCCGUUCGGCGCUAGGAUCAUCGGUGAUUUGGAUCACGACGAGUAUGACUCCAUCAACCCCGUUCACUUGAACGCUUCCGCUUAGCGAUCUACAAGGGUAUGUAGAUGCACUCUCCUUCCCCUCGCUGCUAGAUUACUCCAUAGAUUGAUCUUGGUGAUGCAUAGAAAAUUUUGAAUUUCUGCUACGUUCCCCAACAGUGGCAUCAUGAGCUAGGUCUAUGCGUAGUUUCUAUGCACGAGUAGAACACAAAGCAGUUGUGGGCGUCGAUAUUGUCAAUUUACUUGCCGUUACUAGUCUUAUCUGUUGGGGAACGUAGUAAUUUCAAAAAAAUUCCUACGCACACGCAAGAUCAUGGUGAUGCAUAGCAACGAGAGGGGAGAGUGUGAUCUACGUACCCUUGUAGAUCGACAACGGAAGCGUUUGGUUGAUGUAGUCGUACGUCUCCACGGCCCGACAGAUCAAGCACCGAAACUACGGCACCUCCGAGUUCUAGCACACGUUCAACUCGAUGACGAUCCCCGGACUCCGAUCCAGCAAAGUGUCGGGGAAGAGUUCCGUCAGCACGACGGCGUGGUGACGAUCUUGAUGUACUACCGUCGCAGGGCUUCGCCUAAGCACCGCUACAAUAUUAUUGAGGACUAUGGUGGAAGGGGGCACCGCACACGGCUAAGAAUAUGAUCACGUGGAUCAACUUGUGUCUCUAGGGGUGCCCCUGCCUCCGUAUAUAAAGGUUCAAGAGGGGGAGGCCGGCUGGCCAUCAUAGGGCGCGCCAGGAGGAGUCCUACUCCCUCCGGGAGUAGGACUUCUCCCCCAAUCCUAGCUAGUUGGAAUAGGAUUCGCGAGGUGGGAACGGAGAGAGAGAGAAGGAGGGGGGCGCUGGCCCCCUCUCUCCUUGUCCUAUUCGGACUAGGGGGGAGGGGCGCGCGGCCCAGCCCUGGCCGCCUCUCCUCUUCUUCCACUAAGGCCCACUAAGGCCCAUGUACCUCCCGGGGGGUUCCGGUAACCUCCCAGUACUCCGGUAAAAUUCCGAUUUCACCCGGAACACUUCCGAUAUCCAAAUAUAGGCUUCCAAUAUAUCAAUCUUUAUGUCUCGACCAUUUCGAGACUCCUCGUCAUGUCCGUGAUCACAUCCGGGACUCCGAACAACCUUUGGUACAUCAAAACGUAUAAACUCAUAAUAUAACUAUCGUCGAAACCUUAAGCGUGCAGACCCUACGGGUUCGAGAACAAUGUAGACAUGACCGAGACACGUCUCCGGUCAAUAACCAAUAGCGGGACCUGGAUGCCCAUAUUGGUUCCUACAUAUUCUACGAAGAUCUUUUAUCGGUCAGACCGCAUAACAACAUACGUUGUUCCCUUUGUCAUCGGUAUGUUACUUGCCCGAGAUUCGAUCGUCGGUAUCCAAUACCUAGUUCAAUCUCGUUACCGGCAAGUCUCUUUACUCAUUCCGUAAUACAUCAUCCCCUAACUAACUCAUUAGUUGCAAUGCUUGCAAGGCUUAAGUGAUGUGCAUUACCGAGAGGGCCCAGAGAUACCUCUCCGACGAUCGGAGUGACAAAUCCUAAUCUUGAAAUACGUCAACCCAACAUGUACCUUUGGAGACACCUGUAGAGCACCUUUAUAAUCACCCAGUUACGUUGUGACGUUUGGUAGCACACAAAGUGUUCCUCCGGCACAUGGGAGUUACAUAAUCUCAUAGUCAUAGGAACAUGUAUAAGUCAUGAAGAAAGCAAUAGCAACAUACUAAACGAUCGGGUGCUAAGCUAAUGGAAUGGGUCAUGUCAAUCAGAUCAUUCAACUAGCAUGUAUUAUGUUUCCGGUUAAUACAUUUCUAGCAUGAAUAAUAAACUUUUAUCAUGAUAUAAGGAAAUAAAUAAUAACUUUAUUAUUGCCUCUAGGGCAUAUUUCCUUCAUUAUCUUGAUUCGGCGGCAUUGUGGGAUGAAGCGGCCCGGACCGACCUUACACGUACGCUUACGUGAGACUGGUUCCACCGACUGACAUGCACUAGUUGCAUAAGGUGGCUAGCGGGUGUCUGUCUCUCCCACUUUAGUCGGUUCGGAUUCGAUGAAAAGGGUCCUUAUGAAGGGUAAAUAGAAAUUGGCAUAUCACGUUGUGGUUUUUGCGUAGGUAAGAAACGUUCUUGCUAGAAACCUAUAGCAGCCACGUAAAAACUUGCAACAACAAUUAGAGGACGUCUAACUUGUUUUUGCAGCAUAUGCCUUGUGAUGUGAUAUGGCCAAAAGGAUGUGAUGAAUGAUAUAUGUGAUGUAUGAGAUUGAUCAUGUUCUUGUAAUAGGAAUCACGACUUGCAUGUCGAUGAGUAUGACAACCGGCAGGAGCCAUAGGAGUUGUCUUAAUUUAUUUAUGACAUGCGUGUCAACAUAAACGUCAUGUAAUUACUUUACUUUAUUGCUAAAGCGUUAGCCAUAGUAGUAGAAGUAAUAGAUGACGAGACAACUUCAAGAAGACACGAUGAUGGAGAUCAUGGUGAUGGAGAUCAUGGUGUCAUGCCGGUGACAAUGAUGAUCAUGGAGCCCCGAAGAUGGAGAUCAAAAGGAGCAAAAUGAUAUUGGCCAUAUCAUGUCACUAUUUGAUUGCAUGUGAUGUUUAUCAUGUUUUACAUCUUAUUUGCUUAGAAUGACGGUAGCUUAAAAAAGAUGAUCCCUCACUAAAAUUUCAAGAAAGUGUUCCCCCUAACUGUGCACCGUUGUGAAGGUUCGUCGUUUCGAAGCACCACGUGAUGAUCGGGUGUGAUAGAUUCUAACGUUCGAAUACAACGGGUGUUGACGAGCCUAGCAUGUACAGACAUGGCCUCGGGACACAUGCGAAACACUUAGGUUGACUUGACGAGCCUAGCAUGUACAGACAUGGCCUCGGAACACGGAAGACCGAAAGGUCGAACAUGAGCCGUAUAGAAGAUACGAUCAACAUGAGAUGUUCACCGUUGAUGACUAGUCCGUCUCACGUGAUGAUCGAACACGGCCUAGUCGAUCCGGAUCAUGCUUCACUUAGAUGACUAGAGGGAUGUCUAUCUGAGUGGGAGUUCAUUAAAUUAAUUUGAUUAGAUGAACUCAAUUAUCAUGAACAUAGUCUAAAUUGUCUUCGCAAAUAUGUUGUAGAUAAAUAGCUCACGUUGUAGCUCCCUGUUUCAAUAUGUUACUAGAGAAAGAUUAAGUUGAAAGAUAUUGUAAGCAAUGAUGCGGACUAGGUCCGUAGUCCGAGGAGUGUCCUCACUGCUACACAGAAGGCUUACGUCUUUGAUGCACCGCUUGAUGUGCAAACCCCGACAACGUCAUCUGUGGAUGUUGUGAACACCUGACAGACAUAUUCUGAUGACUACCUGAUAGUUUAGUGCACCAUACUUUACGGCUUAGAAUCGGGAUUCCAAUGACGUUUUAAACGCCAUAGAACAUAUGAGAUGUUCCAAGAGCUGAAAUUGAGAUUUCAGGCUCAUGCCCGUGUUGAGAGGUGUGAGACCUCUGACAAGUUCUUUAGCCAACAAGAUGGAGGAGAAUAGCUCAGCUAGUGAGCAUGUGCUUAGAAUGUCUGGGUGCUACAAUCACUUAAAUCAAGUGGGAGUUAAACUUCCAGAUAAGAUAGUGAUUGAUAGAGUUCUCUAGCUACUAUCACUAAGCUAUUAGAUCUUCCUGAUGAACUAUGACAUGCAAGGGAUGGAAUUGAUCCCAGAGCUGUUCGUGGUGCUUAAGACCGCAAAAGGUAGAAAUCAAGAAGGAGCAUCAAGUGUUGAUGGUUUAACAAGACCACUGGUUUCAAGAGGGUCAAGGGCUAGAAGGGAAACUUCAUGGAUGGCAAACCAGUUGCCGCUCCAGUGAAGGAACCCAAGGUUGAACCCAAACCCGAGACUAAGUGCUUCUAUUGUAAGGGGAACGGGCACUGGUAGCGGAAUUACCCCAAAUGCAUGGUAGAUAAGAAGGCUGGAAACUUCAACAAAGUUUAUACGUGUUAUUAAUGUGUACCUCACUAGUACUCCUGGUAGCACCUGGGUAUUGGAUACCGGUUCAGUUGCUAUUACUGGUGACUUGAAGCAAAAGCUACGGACUAAACGGAGACUGGCUAAGGGCGAGGUGAUGAUGUGUGUUGGAAGUGUUUCCAAAGUUGAUGAGAUCACCAUCGCACGCUCCAUCUGCCUUCGGGAUUAGUAUUGAACCUAGAUAAAUGUUAUCAGGUGUCUACGUUGAGCAUGAAUAUGAUUAGAUCAUGUUCAUUGCAAUACGGUCAUUCAUUUAAGUUAGAGAAUAAUGGUUAUUCUGUUUACAUGAAUGAUACCUUUCAUUUCAUGUGAAUGGUUCAUUGAAUCUCGGUCGUGGUAAUACACAUGUUCACGCCAAAAGAUGUAGAGUUAAUAAUGAUAGUACCACUUUCUCGUGGCACUGCCGCUUAGGUCAUAUUGGCGUAAGAUGCAUGAAGAAACUCCAUGUCGAUGGAUGUUUGGAGUCACUUGAUUUAGAAUCGCUUGACACAUGCGAGCCAUGCCUCAUGGGCAGGAUGACUAAGACCCCGCUUUCAGGUACAAUGAAACGGGCAAGUGACUUGUUGGAAAUCAUACAUGCUGAUGCGUGUGAUCAAUUGAGAAUUGAAGCGCGCGGUGGAUAUCGCUAUUUUCUCAUCUUCACUGACAAUUUGAGUAGAUAUAGGUAUAUUUACUUAAUGAAGCACAAGUCUGAAACGUUUGAAAAGUUCAAGCGAUUUCAGAGUGAAGUUAAGAAUCAUCAUAACAAGAAGAUCAAAUCCCUACGAUCUGAUAAAUGAGAAUAUUUGAGUUAUGAGUUUGGCAAACACUUAAGACAUUGUGGAAUUGUUUCACAGUUGAAGCCACCUGGAACACCACUGGGUUAUGGUGUGUCCGGAUGUCGUAAUCGAACCUUAUGAGAUAUGGUGCGAUCUAUGAUGUCUCUUAUCAAUCUACCAUUUUCAUUUUGAGGUUAUGCAUUAGAGACGGCUGUAUUCACUUUAUAUAGGACACCAUCUAAGUCCGUUGAGACGGCGUCGUAUGAACAUUGGUUUGGCAAGAAACCAAAGUUGUCGUUUCUUAAUGUUUGGGGCUGCGAUGCUUAAGGCUUCAGCCGGAAAAGCUUGAACCCAAAGAGGACAAACACAUCUUCAUAGGAUACCCAAAGGUGACAGUAGGGUAUGUCGGCGUUCUAGGAACGGGGGUCCCCAGACUUGCCUGCCUGCGGCCUGCGGCGUGGCUCAAAUGGGGGCCCAGCGCGGCCCAUCUUCAUCAGCACAAGACUCAAGACCCUCGCGAGGGGCCAAACCUCGCGAGGCGGACGACAUGGCGCAUCCUCAGGCGAAGCCUCAUCAGGCUGGCUCGCGAGGAGGCAGAGAAAUCAAGGCAGGGUACCUCGCGAGGUGCCCAUGACGUAAGCCGUGACGAAUCAGGGCACCAGGCGGGUGCCAGCGCACGCAGCGUCCUUCUUUCCUCUUUGGUGCAAAGGGGACAAGCGCAGCUGCGGAGUACCGAGGCAUCAGGCAAAGGUUGCCACUUCGGUGCAACGAGACCAAGGCCAGGCGGACUAUGAGACGGAGGUCACCAUGGAGCCCAGCGCGACGUCAUCGCCAGAGCCUUUGGCAGGCGAAGACUGCUUUUGUCAGGAUAGAUGUACUAGAUGUCCCUCUUCAAAUUAGCCCGCCAUUGUUGGAUCCCUUCCCGUUCAAUAUUUGGGGAGAGGACCAGGGCCUCUAUAUAUAGGACUAGCCACCCACAAGGCAAGGGGUUCGUUCGGUUCGGCUCUUGGUCAUCAACAAGAGUGAGUAAGAGAGAGAGAGAGAAGGGUGACUGAACCUCCAAGAAGUUCAUUUCCCCAACCAAGAAUAGACCCUCGCGUGUCUGUUCUUCCUUGUAUUGAUCAUCCUCACCAGCCCCAAGAGGCAAUCCACCAACCACACACUAGAGUAGGGUAUUACACCACAUCGGUGGCCCGAACCAGUAUAAAUCUUGUGUCUCUUGUGCAUUUCUUUCAGUAGUUUAGAUCCUUGUGAGACGGAGAGGUUGAAGGUGUAAUCUCCGCGCGCACCCCAGUGUUCGAACCUUAAGGGUCUGCCGGAACCUGAAAUCCGACAUUUGGCGCGCCAGGUAGGGGUGCGCCGGAAUUUGUCUUCCACCACUCCGCUCUCCUCCGACCGUCGCAUCCAUGUCUGACGCUCGUCGGGCUCGUGCUGAGCGCCGGGCCGCCAUCGCUUCUCGCGUCGCCCAGACGGCCCCCGUCGGUGGGCGUCCUCGUCGUUCCCCGUCGCCAGCCGUCAACGCCGCCACCGGCCCGGCGGGGGGCGAGCAGCAGGCAUUGUCUCAGCACCUGUCCGUGCGGCAAGACGGCCGCACCACUUCCCCAUCGCUCGCACCAGCCGGCUCUUUGUCCCGCGCGCUCCGCACACCUUUGGAGGCUCGAGCUGCGCUCAUCGCGGCAAACGAGCUCCUGCGCUACCGCCCCGUCGAUGACGUCUACGAGGAGUGGCUCGACCGCGUCGCCGAGCUCGUCCGCGCCGCAGGGGGCUCUCCUGCGCCGUCCGCUCCGCUGCGCCGUACUCUGCCCCGCGCGGGCAACGAAGCUCCGGGGGCGUACCAGCCGCCUCCUCCCCAAGAAGACACCGUGGCUCCAAGGCGCAUGGCCCCUGGGCGGAACCCGCUCCGCCAGGUGCCAGCGCAGCAAGAACAGAGCUGCCAAGAAAUCCCUCGCCCGCAAGGGGCUGCCCGGGCGCUCCCUGCUCCAGCUCCGGCACACCAAGACCCCGCUCUACUCCUAGCUGCAGCGCAUGGGAACCCUCAAGACCGAGCUCUUCACCAACCGAAGCCUUUCAUGGCCACUGCGGGCUGCCUCGCCUACACCAUCGAGCUGCGCAGCGUCGCAUGGCCCGGCAAGUUCAAGCCAGACCUACCUCCUCGCUACGACGACACAACUGACCCCGCUGAGUUCCUCCAGCUCUAUGAGCUGGGCAUCGAGGCUGCCGGCGGAGACGAGAAGGUCAUGGCGAACUGGUUCCCCAUGGCGCUGAAGGAAGGAGCACGCACCUGGCUCCUGAAUCUGGCUCCAGGAACGAUCUCUUCCUGGGACCAGAUGCGCACCCGCUUCAUCGCCAACUUCCAAGGUACUCGCGACCGGCCACCCGCCGUGAGCGACAUGCGCCGCAUCAAGCAGCAACCCGGAGAGACCCUGCAAAAGUACAUCCAGCGCUUCAACAGCGCGCGCCUCAAGAUCCCCAGGGUGUCCGAGGAGGCCAUCAUCUCGGCCUUCUCUGAUGGCGUGCGCGACGUCAAGAUGAAGGAGGAGCCGGCGAUGCAUGAAGACCUCUGCACCUCCCUGGAGCUAUUCAACUUGGCGAACAGGUGCGCCAGGGCUGAGGAGGGACGCCUCUCCCUCCUCGAGCUGCCUGCCGCAUACCCAGAAGAGAAGAAGCCCAAGGCCAAGGACGUGAAGCGCAAGGGGGCUGCCGUGCUCGCAGCUGAACCAGACACCAAGCGCGGCAAGGAUCUGCCCGACUUUUCCAGAGGCAGCCGGUACUGCGUGUACCACGACCUCCACACCCACAACACCAACGAAUGUCAAGAGCUCCGUGCCGUGCGAGAAGGAAGGAUUGGUUGUCGCCCUGACCGUGCUGACCGGGGCUACGGCCGAGGAGGAGGAAGAAACCCAGGGCGCUGGGAAGAUCACGGCCCGCGCCAGGGGUGGCGCGACCAACCUCGCGAGGACUGCUGGCAAGACCUACCUCGCGAGGGAGACUGGAGGGAUCAGCCUCGUGAGGAUCGCCCUCAUGGCAACGCAGGCCUACCUCCUCUGCCGCCUCCACCAAGAAGGAACGAAGACCGCCAUCAGGACGAGGGGGCUGGGGGCUUCCAGGAGCCGCGCGCAAUCGCCUGCAUCCUGGGCGGAGCUCAAGCCCCAGCCUCCCAACGUAUCUUCAAGCAGUUCGCCCGCGAGGUGAAUGCAGUACUCCCCAAGCUCGAAGCAACGCGCCCCCUCAGGUGGUCGGCGUGCGCCAUCACGUUCAGCUCAGCAGAUCAGCUCAAGUGCUCGGCCACAGCCGGAGUCCUCCCGAUGCUUUGCUCCCUAGUCAUCAGCAACAUGCUGGUCACCAAGACCCUCAUCGACGGAGGGGCAGGGCUCAACGUCCUGUCCGUGGAAACCUUCAACAACCUCCAAGUGCCCUACGACCAGCUUCAGCCAACCAAGCCUUUCUCCGGAAUCACCGACGGCUCCACAGUCCCGAUCGGGCAGGUCCGCCUCCCUGUCACCUUCGGGGCUCGCAGCAACUACCGCACCGAGCUCAUCGACUUCGACGUCGCCGACAUCCGCCUUCCAUACAACGCCAUCCUCGGGUACCCAGCAUUGGCCAAGUUCAUGGCCGUGACUCACCACGGCUACAACGUCCUCAAGAUGCCAGGAAGUGGCGGCGUCAUCACGGUACCCUGUGAAGAGAGAGAUGCAGUGUGUUCCUUGGAGCGAGCCUUUCAGGCCGCGUCACUUGAAGACCCAGAUCGCAGAAGCAGGAGGCUUCCUGAGACCGCCUCCAAGAAGAAGAAGAUGUCGCCAGGCUCAGCCCCUCCGGAGGCAGGCCCCUCAGGGCCCGUGUCUGCCCGGGAGGACCCUCCUUCCAUCGCAUAGGAAAGCGCGCCCGGCGCCCUCCUCAGGCAAGGCUCGGGGGCUCUCACCUGGAGGGCCACCGACCUAGCCAGGGUCACGAGGGAGGCGCUUGGGCACCACGUGGAGGCGUGCUUCGAAGCACAUUUCCCUCGAGGAGGAACCAUGCAAGGAAGGCCAGACCAGCAGAGUUCGUCAACGAGGCCAUUCAAGAGCUACAGGAGUCAAGGGUCAUGAGAGGUUGCCGUCGUCCACCAGCUGUGGCCCCACAUCCAGACGAGGAUGGUGGGCUGCGCGUCUGCGUCGACAUACCAGGGCUUAAUCAGUUCGCCACGACGGAGCGCCUCUGGCCCUCGCGAGUGGGGCGCUGCGGAGAUCCACCCCACAACCGUGUUCGCAUGCCUUACGGCCUGCCGAGCGUGGCUGCGGCGUGCCAGCGCCUCAUGAGGGGCAUCGUGGAGGCUCAGGAGGACAGGCGUUCUGCAGCACUAGCGGAGAUGAGGACAGCUCAUGAGGGGUCACCAGUGCCUCCGGAGCCUCCCGAGGCCCCGGGGCCUGGGGGGUCGUGAGGAUCAGCUUCCGCAGCCCACCGAGUCUACUGCACCGCUGCCACUUCACCAACGACAUUCCUAGGUGACAUCUUCCAAGUUCCAUUCCUAGCUAGGGGCGCCCUCCCAGGGUUGCAUCACUCCCAGGCCGCGUGGGUCCGUCCCUGUGGUGUGUAUCUGCUUUUACCUUUCGGUCAUUAGUCUGCUUUGUUGGGGGCGCCCCUCGGGCUGCAUCAUCCCCAAGCCGCUGGGGCGAGGCCCAGUGGCGUGUAUCUCCAUCGCGCUUAUUUCCAACCUUGCAUUGCCUAUCACGCUUGAUUGCUUGAUGCCCGUUCGCGGCAACCCUUCUUCUCCAUGUCGACUACUUGCACGUUAAAGGGGGGGGGUUCCUGAGCAUCGUGACUCAGGGCUCUUACUGGCUCUCCAGCCCUCACCCUCUGGCCUUGUCCACGGCAUCGCGACCUGGCAUACCAGCGACGGCUGAGACAAGCUCGAGGGCCGGGACCCGAGGACGUAGAGUACCGGCAUCUAACCAAAUUUUGCAGGGACACAUUUCAAGAUACGGCCCAGUGCUGGGCGCAACCCGCCUAGAGGUAGGGCCUCGUGAGUCCCGCGCUGGCUCACGGGUGCCCAGAUACACCUCACCUACUCCAACCAGCAAGCUCUUGAGUGACUAACGAUCGACUAAUGGCCGUCAUGGCAACACCAUCUUCUUUCUGUGAUGACCCUGCAGGAUCCUUGGAGGGAACGGCGCUAGCCAAGGCCCUCACGAGGUUCCCUUCGCCCUCGCCCGCGCGAACCGCUUGCACGUUAAAGGGGGGCACCUGAGCAUCACGACUCAGGGCUCUUACUGGCUCUCCAGCCCUCACCCUCUGGCCUUGUCCACGGCAUCGCGACCUGGCGUACCAGCGACGACUGAGACAAGCUCAAGGGCCGGGACCUGAGGACGUAGAGCAGAAGGGGAGCAGAGGCGAGGAAGAAGGGGCUCGCGAGGACCUUGCCGAGCAAUCCCGCUCCUGCCUACGCGCGGACCUGAUGGCGCAUCAGGAACGAUCCCUGGCUCUCAUGAUAAGUCACCCCCCCCCCAAAACACUGGCUACCGUGGCACUACCCCCGCACUUAAAGCAACUCCGUACUAGUGACGUUGCUUCCCUUUCUCACUAAGCGACGGCUGCUUGGGCGCCAAAGGGGACCUCCUGAGCAUCGCGACUCAGGGGCUCUUACCGGACCCCGGGUCGCUCACCUCCUGGCCUUGACCACGGCAUCGCGACCUAGCAUACCAGCGACGGCUGACGCCGCCUUGGGACUGGGUCCUAUCGACGCAGAGCACCAAGCCCUCGCGAGGUUCGAAAGGGAGGACCGAACUACGAUGGAAUCAGCAACACGCACAGAUCCAUGUCAAAAGGUCAUAUAUAUUAACAAAGGGACUACAGGCACCUUACAAGCCCCCGCGGGGCGCAUUUUCGGUUCCUCGCAAGGAACGAAUCAAAAGGGACGCUAACUACACGAGCUACAGCAAGAGACGCCGUCAUCAACAGUGGGCCGUCAGGCACCGGCACCAACUCCAUCCAGAUCAGGGUCGGUGGCGGCCUGACGAGUCCGCCCUGCUCCGGGAGCGACGCCGACUCGGGGGCUCGUAGCUGUCGUCGCUCGUCUCCUGAGUCACGAAGCCUUUGCUGGAGUCGCUGGACCCUCCGGCGCCUCCACCGUGGGGGCGAUCAACGGGCCUAGCCCUCACCAGGGCAAGGUCCUGGCCACCUCUCCCGCGGCAGCACUCUAGCCGGCGCCCGUGCGCGUCGAAGGCCUUGAAGAACAUCACCGCCGCGCCGUCGUACUCCAGGUGGAUCGCGAAGACGCCCCUAUCCCUGCAGACCCAGGCGAUCUCCCUCCAGCCGCAGGACAUGAAGACCUCGCCCGGGGCUGCGACCACGACCUCUGCCUCGGUCGCGAGGGCGCUGCAGUCGGCGUGCUGCAGGCAGCACUCCAGGGGCCCUCCUGGAGGAACGAUGGAGGCGAAGAAGGGAGGCAGGCGAAUCGAGGACUGACGAGGAAUGGCGACGCGGAGCACGCCCUCCUGGGAGGAGCCCUCGGCGUGGACUCCGGGAGGAACCACCCACGCCUUUGUGACCAGACGACGCCGACGACGGCGUUGGCCGCGGGGAUCAGCAUCAACACCUCCGGGGCCCUCGACGUGGGCAUACAAGGGGAGCGGGAACCCCGGCGGAACUCGCUCGCCCCAGGGCGUCGCCGCCGCCUGACGAUCCUCCUCGUCCCGGCUGCAAAGGGCGAGUCGCUUUUUCGGCGGGAAAGGGUCUGGCCCCUCUCGAGGAGCCUUUCCCUUCUCCGCUGCAGAGAACCGGCGAAUUGGAGCCAUCACACCAAGACGGAGCAAGAGCAGAGGCGAAGGAGACAGCAAGGAGAGAUGGACUGGAAGGGCACACGCGGAGCCGUACUUAUAGCCGGCGAAGGCCAACCGCCGGCCUCCACGAUCACAGGUAAUCAUAACACGUUCUACAUGCAGGGACUUGUCCAACUCACGCGAUCACCAAGGCGUCGUGGGGAAGUGGAGACGCCACGUCCAAUCAACCGCCACGCGGCGCCCAAGGCCGCUGGCUGUUAGGGCCCGCAGCGCUUCGCCCUUUCCCUUUCGCCUCUCGGCACGGCCAAGUUCAUGCGCGCCUUGGGCCCGGGGGCUACUGUCGACGUUCUGGGAACGGGGGUCCCAAGACUUGCCUGCCUGCGGCCUGCGGCGUGGCUCAAAUGGGGGCCCAGCGCGGCCCAUCUUCAUCAGCACAAGACUCAAGACCCUCGCGAGGGGCCAAGCCUUGCGAGGCGGACGACAUGGCGCAUCCUCAGGCGAAGCCUCAUCACGCUGGCUCACGAGGAGGCGGAGACAUCAAGGCAGGGUACCUCGCGAGGUGCCCAUGACGUAAGCCGUGACGAAUCAGGGCACCAGGCGGGUGCCAGCGCGCGCAGCGUCCUUCUUUCCUCUUUGGUGCAAAGGGGACAAGCGCAGCCGCGGAGUACCGAGGCAUCAGGCAAAGGUUGCCAUUUUGGUGCAACGAGACCAAGGCCAGGCGUACUACAAGACGGAGGUCACCAUGGAGCCCAGCGCGGCGUCAUCGCCAGAGCCUUUGGCAGGCGAAGACUACUUUUGUCAGGAUAGAUGUACUAGAUGUCCCCCUUCAAAUUAGCCCGCCAUUGUUGGAUCCCUUCUCGCUCAAUAUUUGGGGAGAGGACCAGGGCCUCUAUAUAUAGGACUAGCCACCCACAAGGCAAGGGGUUCGUUCGGUUCGGCUCUUGGUCAUCAACAAGAGUGAGUAAGAGAGAAAGAGAGAGAAGGGUGACUGAACCUCCAAGCAGUUCAUCGCCCCAGCCAAGAACAGACCCUCGCGCGUCUGUUCUUCCUUGUAUUGAUCAUCCUCACCAGCCCCAAGAGGCAAUCCACCAACCACACACUGGAGUAGGGUAUUACACCACAUCGGUGGCCCGAACCAGUAUAAAUCUUGUGUCUCUUGUGCAUUUCUUUCAGUAGUUUAGAUCCUUGUGAGACGGAGAGGUUGAAGGUGUAAUCUCCGCGCGCACCCCAGUGUUCGAACCUUAAGGGUCUGCCGGAACCCGAAAUCCGACAGGGUAUACCUUCUAUCUCAGAUCCGAGGGCAAAUUGUUUGUCGCUAAGAACGGGUCCUUUCUCGAGAAGGAGUUUCUCUCGAAAGAAUUGAGUGGGAGGAAGAUAGAACUUGAUGAGGUUGCUGAACCGUUACUUCAACCAGAGAGUGAUGCAACACAGAAAGAUGUUUUCUGUGGCGCCUACGUCUGUUGAAUAGGAAGUUAAUGAUAGUGAUCAUGAAGCUUCGGAUCAAGUUGCUACCGAACCUCGUAGGUCGACAAGGAUAUGUACUACUCCUAAGUGGUACGGUAAUCCUGUCUUAGAUAUCAUGUUGUUAGACAACAAUGAACCUACGAGCUAUGGAGAAGCGAUGGUGGGCCCAUGUUCCGACAAAUGGUUAGAAGCCAUGAAAUCCGAGAUAGGAUCCAUAUAUCAGAACAAAGUAUGGACUUUGGUGGACUUGCCCGACGAUCGGCAAGCCAUUGAGAUAAAAUGGAUCUUUAAGAAGAAGACGGACGUGGGCGGUAAUGUUACCAUCUAUGAAGCUCGACUUGUGGGAAAGAGUCUUUUCACAAGUUCAAGGAGUUGACUACGAUGAGAAUUUCUCACCCAUAGCGGUGCUUAAGUCCGUCAGAAUCAUGAAAGCAUUAGCUGUAAUUUUUGAUUAUGAAAUCUUACAAAUGGAUGUCAAAACAAGUUUUCUUACCAGUUUUCGUAAGAAAAGUUGUAUGUGAUACAAUAAAAGGUUUUGUCGAUCCUAAGGAUGCUAAAAGGUAUGCUGGCUCCAGCAAUCCUUCUAUGGACUAGAGCAAGCAUCUCGGAAUCGGAAUAUAUGUUUUGAUGGAGUGAUCAAAGCUUUUAGGUUUAUACAAUGUUUGCUAGAAACUUGUAUUUACAAGAAAGUGAGUGGGAGCACUACAACAUUUCUGAUAAGUAUAUGUGGAUGACAUAUUGUUGAUCCGAAAUAAUGUAGAAUUUCUGGAAAGCAUAAACGGUUGUUUGAAGAGUGUUUUUCAAAGGAAAGACCUGGAUAAAGCUGCUUACAUAUUGGGCAUCAAGAUCUAUAGAGAUAGAUCAAGACGCCUGAUGGUACUUUCAAAGAACGCACACCUUGACAUGUUUUUGAAGGAGUUCAAAAUAGAUCAGUCAAAGAAGGGGUUCUUACCUGAGUUGUAAGGUGUGAAGUUGAGUAAGACUCAAAGAUUGACCACGGCAGAAGAAAGAGGAAGGACGAAAGGUCGUCCCCUAUGCUCUUGUCAUAGGCUCUAUACGGUAUGCCAUGUUGAAGUACCGCACCUAUUGUGUGCCUUGCCACAUGUCUGGCAAGAGGGUACAAAGGUGAUCUAGGAGUGGAUCACCAGAUAGCAGUCAAAAUUAUCCUUAGAGGAAUAGGGAAAUGUUUCUCGGUUAUGGAGGUGAUAAAGAGUUCGACAUAAAGAGUUACGUCGAUGCAAGCUUAACACCUAUCCGGAUAGCUCUGAGUAGAGAUACCGGAUAUGUAUAAUGGAGCAAUAAUUUGGAAUAGCUCCAAGUGGAACGUGGUAGCAGCAUCUACGAUAUAAAGUUUUGCGAAUACAUAGGGAUCUGAAUAUGGCAAGACUCGUUGACUACAACCUCUCUCACAAGCGUAACAUGAUCAAACCCAGAACUCUUUGAGUGAUUAUCACAUAGUGAUGUGAACUAGAACAUUGAGUCUAGUAGACUCUUGGAUGUGGGUCACAUGGCGAUGUGACCUGUGAGUGUUAAUCACAUGGCGAUGUGAACUAGAUUAUUGACUCUAGUGCAAGUGGGAGACUGUUGGAAAUAUGCCCUAGAGGCAAUAAUAAAUUGGUUAUUAUUAUAUUUCAUUGUUCAUGAUAGUCGUUUAUUAUCCAUGCUAGAGUUGUAUUGAUAGGAAACUCGGAUACAUGUGUGGAUACAUAGACAACACCAUGUCCCUAGUAAGCCCCUAGUUGACUAGCUCGUUGAUCAAUAGAUGGUUACGGUUUCCUGACCAUGGACAUUGGAUGUCGUUGUUAACGGGAUCACAUCAUUAGGAUAAUGAUGUGAUGGACAAGACCCAAUCCUAAGCCUAGCACAAAGAUUGUAUAGUUCGUAUGCUAAAGCUUUUCUAAUGUCAAGUAUCAUUUCCUUAGACCAUGAGAUUGUGCAACUCCCGGAUACCGUAGGAGUGCUUUGGGUGUGCCAAACGUCACAACGUAAUUGGGUGGCUAUAAAGGUACACUACAGGUAUCUCCGAAAGUGUCUGUUGGGUUGGCACGAAUCGAGACUGGGAUUUGUCACUCCGUGUAAAUGGAGAGGUAUCUCUGGGCCCACUCGGUAGGACAUCAUCAUAAUGUGCACAAUGUGAUCAAGGAGUUGAUCACGGGAUGAUGUGUUAUGGAACGAGUAAAGAGACUUGCCGGUAACGAGAUUGAACAAGGUAUCGGGAUACCGACGAUCGAAUCUCGGGCAAGUAUCGUACCGCUAGACAAAGGGAAUUGUAUACGGGAUUGACUGAAUCCUUGACAUCGUGGUUCAUCCAAUGAGAUCAUCGUGGAGCAUGUGGGAGCCAACAUGGGUAUCCAGAUCCCGCUGUUGGUUAUUGACCGGAGAGUUGUCUCGGCCAUGUCUGCAUGACUCCCGAGCCCGUAGGGUCUACACACUUAAGGUUCGAUGACGCUAGGGUUAUAGGGAAAGUAUAUACGCGGUUAUCGAAUGUUGUUCAGAGUCCCGGAUGAGAUCUCGGACGUCACGAGGAGUUCCGGAAUGGUCUGGAGGUAAAGAUUGAUAUAUAGGAAGUAUGGUUUUGGCCACCGGAAGUGUUCCGGGCAUCACCAGUAGUGUACCGGGACCACCGGAGGGGUCCGGGGGUCCACCGGGAGGGGCCACGAGCCCCGGAGGCAUACCUGGGCCAAGUGUGAGAAGGGACUAGCCCCUAGGUGGGCUGGGGCGCCUCCCCACCAAGGCCCAUGCGCCUAAGGGGAAGAGGGGACAAACCCUAAGGGCAGAUGGGCCCUAAGGCCCAUGCCUGGUGCGCCUCCCUCUUCCCCUCCCCUUGGCCGCCUCCCAGAUGGGAUCUGGGGGCUGCCGCCACCCCUAGGGAGGGAACCCUAGGUGGGGGCGCAGCCCCUCCCCUCCCCCUAUAUAUACUUGAGGUAUGGGGCUGCCCAACACAUGUGAUUUUGCACUCCCUGUUGGCGCAGCCCUACCUCUCUCCCUCCUCGUCUCUCGUAGUGCUUGGCGAAGCCCUGCUGGAGUCCCGCGCUCCUCCACCACCACCACGCUGUCGUGCUGCUGCUGGAUGGAGUCUUCCCCAACCUCUCCUUCUCCCCUUGCUGGAUCAAGGUGUAGGAGACAUCACCGGGCUGUACGUGUGUUGAACACGGAGGUGCCGUCCGUUCAGCACUAGGAUCAUCGAUGAUUUGGAUCACGACGAGUACGACUCCAUCAACCCCGUUCACUUGAACGCUUCCGCUUAGCGAUCUACAAGGGUAUGUAGAUGCACUCUCCUUCCCCUUGUUGCUAGAUUACUCCAUAGAUUGAUCUUGGUGAUGCGUAGAAAAUUUUGAAUUUCUGCUACGUUCCCCAACAACAACUACUUUGUGUUCUACUCGUGCAUAGAAACUACGCAUAGACCUAGCUCAUGAUGCCACUAUUAGGGAACGUAGCAGAAAUUCAAAAUUUUCUACGCAUCACCAAGAUCAAUCUAUGGAGUAAUCUAGCAACGAGGGGAAGGAGAGUGCAUCUACAUACCCUUGUAGAUCGCUAAGCGGAAGCGUUCAAGUGAACCGGGCUGAUGGAGUCGUACUCGUCAUGAUCCAAAUCACCGAUGAUCCUAGCGCCGAACGGACGGCACCUCCGCGUUCAACACACUACGGAACGGAGACGUCUCCCACGCCUUGAUCCAGCAAGGAGGAGGGAGAGGUUGAGGAAGAGAGUCCAACAGCAGCACGACGGCGUGGUGGUGAUGGAGCGACAGUUCUCCGGCAGGGCUUCGCCAAGCUCACGCGGAGGAGGAGAGGUAUUGGAGGGGAGGGGCUGCGCCGGGUUUAAGGGGGUGGCCACCCUCCCACCCCUCCACUAUUUAUAGGUCGGGAGAGAGGGGGUCGGCCCCCCUAGAUCCCAUCUAGGGUUGGGGGCGGCGGCCAAGGGGGGAGGAGUGCCUCCCAAGUCAAGUGGAGGCCCUCCCCCUUAGGGUUUCCCCUCUCCCAUGCGCAUGGGCCUUGGGGGGGCUGGUGUCCUUGGCCCAUUAAGGCUAGGGCGCCCCCCUAUAGCCCAUGUUGCUGUAUUGGACGUGGUGGAACAUUUUCCGGACCUCCGGACCCCUCCGGAAUCCUCCGGAACCUUCCGGAAGCUUCCCGGUACAAUACCAGAAAAAACCAAACUUUUCCCGGAACCCGAACAACAACUUUCCAUAUAUAAAUCUUUACCUCCGGACCAUUCCGGAACUCCUCGUGACAUCCGGGAUCUCAUCCGGGACUCCGAACAACAUUCGAUAAUCACAUACAAGUCUUCCUAAUAACCCUAGCGUCAUCGAACCUUAAGUGUGUAGACCCUACGGGUUCGGGAACCAUGCAGACAUGACCGAGACAACUCUCCGGCCAAUAACCAACAGCGGGAUCUGGAUACCCAUGUUGGCUCUCACAUGUUCCACGAUGAUCUCAUCGGAUGAACCACGAUGUCGAGGAUUCAAUCAAUCCCGUAUUCAAUUCCCUUUGUCCAGCGGUAUUGUACUUGCCCAAGAUUCGAUCGUCGGUAUCCGAUACCUUGUUCAAUCUCGUUACCGGCAAGUCUCUUUACUCGUUCCGUAACACAUCAUCCCGUGAUCAACUCCUUGGUCACAUUAUGCACAUUAUGAUGAUGUCCUACCGAGUGGGCCCAGAGAUACCUCUCCGUCACACGGAGUGACAAAUCCCAGUCUCGAUUCGUGCCAACCCAACAGACACUUUCGGAGAUACCCGUAGUGCACCUUUAUAGCCACCCAGUUACGUUGUGACGUUUGGUACACCCAAAGCAUUCCUACGGUAUCUGGGAGUUGCACAAUCUCAUGGUCUAAGGAAAUGAUACUUGACAUUAGAAAAGCUUUAGCAUACGAACUACACGAUCUUUGUGCUAGGCUUAGGAUUGGGUCUUGUCCAUCACAUCAUUCUCCUAAUGAUAUGAUCCCGUUAUCAACGACAUCCAAUGUCCAUGGUCAGGAAACCGUAACCAUCUAUUGAUCAACGAGCUAGUCAACUAGAGGCUUACUAGGGACAUGGUGUUGUCUAUGUAUCCACACAUGUAUCUGAAUUUCCUAUCAAUACAAUUCUAGCAUGGAUAAUAAACGAUUAUCAUGAACAAGGAAAUAUACUAAUAACUAAUUUAUUAUUGCCUCUAGGGCAUAUUUCCAACACACACACACACAUGAAUCCUCGCUUUUCUCACUCUGUCCCUUCGUCCUUGUUGUGUAUCCGCGUAGUCCGAGGUCCCCGUCCCCGAAAGAAACCUAGAAGAGAUCGAAACACAACUCUUUUCGCCGCCAGUGAAGCCUCGACGACUCAAGUCGCGACUCGCCUAAGACGAUGUAGAUCUUCAUGAAGACCCUGACAGGUAAAACCAUCAUGCUGGAGGUGGAGGGGCAGCGACACCGUGGACAGCGUCAAGGGCAAGGUCUAGGAUAAGAAAGGGAUCCCGCCGGACCAGCAGCAGCUCAUAUCUUCGCCGAGAAGCAGCUGGAGGACGGUCGCUUGCUGGCAACUACAACGUGCACAAGGAGUCGACGCAUCCCCUGGUGCUCCGCCUCCGCAACGGCACCACCAUCAAGGUCAAGACACCCACCGCCAAGGAGAUCGGGAUCAACAUCGAGCCCACGGACACGUCCGACAGGAUCAAGGAGCACGUCGAGGAGAAGGAGGGCAUCCCGCCCGUCCAGCAGAGGCUCAUCUUCGAUGGCAAGCAGAUGGCCGCCGACAAGACGGUGCAAAAGUACAAGGUCAAGGGCGGCUACGUGCUCCACCUCGUGCUCGCCCUCAGGGGCGGUGCCUGCUAGAAUUUGGGUCUUAUGGUCGCUCGCUUUUCCAUGAGGGUGUAGCUUUGGUUUUUUUUCUUGCGUAUGAUUUUGGUUGGAACUUUUUGAACAGUGUUUGAGUCUCUUUAAAGCCAUAAUGUUUGAGGCCAGGUUACAUGUACGUACAAUCACAACAGUUGUCUGCACAAUAAUCUUUUCCCAUCCGUUCAUAUAUUUUUACCACCAAUCCACUAAAUCAAAGAUAUGAAAAUUUGUUUUGAGGCAAAUGUUGCCUCGCCGUUUGAAUAAAGAUACUUGCACUAACCAAUCAAAGAUAUGCAAUUUUUUACCGCUAUAAGGCACGAUGCUGACCGUCCGACUGGAUCGGACAGACGAGAACCACGCGGAAAUGCUGUCCAGAAUUCAGUCGUAGAAUGGGCCAAUUUUGACCCGCAAAAAAAUAGAAUGGACCAAUUUCUCCUCCAGGCUAUGGCCUGGUUGACUCUAUAUCUAUGGUCGCACAAAAUGGUUUUUCUUUUGGAUGAAUUUAUUUGUUGGGCCAGUGAAGUUAAUAUAUAACACCAAUAGGUUUUGGGCCGAGUUAUGAAAAUGUUUUUCCAGUGUAUUUUCUGCUAUAUUAUGAAAAUAUAAAUUAUGUAUGCACUAUUCAAAUGAGAAAUAUGAGCUCAAAUUUAUGUUGAAAGUUACUUUAAUGAUGAGAGAUUUUUAUAAUGUUUUUCCGUGGGUUAUAAUGGACCUAAUUAUGGUAUCAAUCAUUUUAUUUAUCUUUAGUGCUUUCUAAGUUGUUUCAGUUCCUUUUAUGUUUAUGCAUUGAAAAUAAAUCUAGUAUUAUGCUAAAAUCAUGUUUCAAUUUUUUGAAUACGGUUGAACCAAUUGGAAAUUGCAUUGAAAAUUCAUGUGGCAUUAAUGUUAAAUGUGAUUUCAUGGCAAUUUUUAAUGAUGAUCACCUUUUAGCAUCAUUUUAAUGUGAAAAUUCAUCUUGUAAAAUGAUAUAUUCACCAUUAUUACUCACUCACUAAAUUUUCCAAAAAAUAUUAUUUGAAAAAUUUAGUUUAGUGUGUUCUUUAUGUUGAUGUCAUCAUUAUCAACAAGCACAUGCCACCUAAGGAAAUGUUGAUUUUCGUGUGGUUUGGUUUUCCACACCCCACCAUGCGGCACAAUAUGUUUGGCCGGCAUGCCUAACGGGCAAAAUUAAUGUUUUCAGAUGGUGCAUUUUAUCUUAUUGAAUGCACUGUACAACUAGAAUGGCAUUGAUGAAAUUAUGGUUGAUUCUCUAAACUAGCUCGCUCCAGAAUAAGUAUAAUUGAGCAUGCUCAAAAUAAGUGCCUCAACUUUAUUAUAACUUUGUACUAACGUUAGUACAAAGUAUAGACACUUAUUUUAGGACGGAGGGAGUAUAAACUAGCUACAGUUGGUAAGUUCUUUGUCAAGUGAUUAGAGAUAAGGUUAUGAGGCGAAUAUUCUUUUCCCUGGUUAAAAUUUCAUCAAAAAGGGAGCUGACCUCGACACAAGAAGCCGGUCCAUAAAAGUUAGUCUCGAAUGUAAGCAGUCCAAUACUGAACAAACACUUGUUUCAAAAAUGGCGCGACAAGUCGCGCAACCGCUUCUAGUAAGUACACUACCCUUCAACUGUCCAAAAAUUUCAACCAGACUGUAGCCAAUCUGUUGAAAAUGGAACACAAAAUUUGACGACGAAAUCCACGUGACUUUUACAACCCCUGCGACCUUUUUGUGUUCCAUCCAAACUCAAACAUGUGAGAGAAAAACAAGAAGCAAGCAAAAGAUGCUCCGCAAUUGCUUACCGAAAGUUGUUAUACAACUAUUGCAGCAGAUAAAAAAUCUCUUAAUUUUAUUAAACAAAGGUCAGCUGAUGUACAAAGCAUGCCAACAAUGUAAUCUGCAGAAACUAGUAUUCUUAUAGUGUUAUAUGGGAUCAAACCUGAAUUUUGUUCACAUGUUAUUCGGAAGAUUUACGACAUGUGCUAAACCAAAUAUACUCCGGGUGCGCAGCAAAAUGCAGCAAGUCGCCUGCAUUUUCAUUUUCUGAGUAAACAUGGGUGCAUUAGCAUCGCCAUAUUCAAAAUGAUAGGUGCUAAUGAAAAUGACUGAAACUUAUAGGCCGAGUGUCCGGGCACAUCAGCAUCACCAUGUUCAGAAUUCAACCUUUGUGAAAACACAAAUUCAUUUUCUGCUGAUGGACUCAAACUUUCAGCAGAGUUUCAUCCAAGACACCACAUCUGUGCCAACACCAGAUGCUUCAUCUAAGACUAAGAGAAAUGCAGGUGGCAACGUUGAAGUAGUGUCCAUUGUCGAACACAUUACAGACUAAUGUCACUGCACCACUGAUCAAACAGUUUCGGAAUAUUAGAACCGUGAUGCCAACGCAAAUAGGUUUCUUAUUAUAUUGUCUGGAGAACAAACCAAGUUUAGCUAGUAGAAACACAACAACUGCUUGGUUUUCUUGAACCCAUAUCUCAGUGGAAGGAACUGGGUUCUAAUGUGCCGCAGUCAUACCCAAAAUAUACAAUACUUGUGCCCUGUUUUAGGGCAACCCAAAACAAAAUUCAGCAACUUUUGGUUUUUGGGCAACUGUUUUGGCCGAAGAGGGACUUCAUCAAAUUCAUACUGACACAGAUUUUGUUAGAUCUGGUAUAGGAGGCACUGCGGUGGCUGUAUGCAUGGACUCUUCUGGGAAUUACUUGCGAUCAUGUACGCUAGUAAUUCAUGGCAUGAGAGAAGUUUCAACUCUAGAGGUAUCGCUUGCAGGGAAGCUCUAUCUUUGGCGGAUGAUCUUCUACUUCACAAUUUUCUAGUGGCUACUGAUUCUAAGCAGGUGGCUAAUGAUAUCAACAUGGGCUGCACUGGUAUUCAUGGUCUGAUUGUAGCUGAGAUUAAGUUAAGGACAACCAAAUUUAAUUGUAGUUUUUGUUUCUGAGAGUCAGGCCUUGAAUAGAGAAGCCCAUUUACUAGCCAAGCUUUUUGAUUCUUUAGAUUGUGGUAGACAUGUCUGGUUGGGACAGCCUCAUGAUCACAUUUAUUUUCCCAGUUUUGUGAACUAUGAAUAACAAACUUUGGUGGUUCUUAAAAAAUGAAGUUGCUGGAGCCGUUUUUUGCCCUCCAAGUAGUCAAAAAGCGACUGAGAUGCUCUGACUGAGCACGAACAACACUAUGUACAGAUACCAGAACCAGUGUACCCCAAAUGGCUAGGAUUGUCAGGUAAUAGUACUGAAACAUGUUAACCAGAAACAUGUAAAGAUACCCUAAACAGUUCAACAGUGUCCACGUACAACUCACUCUAGACUGUUGACCGGGUCUUGGCCCAUUCCUCAGACACAACUUUUUGACAAACUUUAUUCAAGCCCUACAAUAAGCCUGGUACGCAGAGUCGACCAAGUCACCUUCACUGAGAUCAACCCAAAAUCAGUCUUUAUCUCUCGAGUAUCAAGUCCAUGCGUGUCUGCCUGGAAGGAACAACAUCGUUCCGCUGAACCAGAUGGCCCCGAGGCCGCCUUGAACUUCAAAACCAGAGUGGAACCAUCCACUACAGCAACCACAGACCUCUUUAAAUGACGUGACUCGCCAACUGUACCAUUGAAGAGCCGAAUUCCUUCGUUAUAACCACNNNNNNNNNNGAUAAAACAGCGCAAGCGCAGAUGAAAACUGCUCUGCACUUCUGACACGGCAACUUCAAUAUUCGCCAUGACUGCGUCAUCAACACGUGCUAUGGUUAAGUCAACCGCACCACAGUCGCCUUGGAUGCGAUUUUUCAAUGCACGAUUCCAUGGGCCCAGGUCGUCUAUGUCUGUUACACCAUCAAUCAGCUGGUAAUCAUCCCUUUCUUCCUCACCUACCUUGAUCCUCAUGUCAUAUUCCACUAGAAUACUGGAAAUC